RNAcentral lists this long non-coding RNA (64595 nucleotides) under Ananas comosus (pineapple). RNAcentral describes it as "long non-coding RNA (ACOM_LNC000280)". The record is from RNAcentral. Lineage: Eukaryota; Viridiplantae; Streptophyta; Magnoliopsida; Poales; Bromeliaceae.
UUCUUUGGUACAUAAAAUUAAAAAAAAUUCUAUUUGUACAAUAAAAAAAAAAUAAACUUCAAAUAUUAUCUCUGUGGUUUCGUACUUUCUCACUUUAAUAUCCUAUAAUUUAAAGUGUAUCAAAUUAGUGUCUUGUAGUUUUAUUUUUAUCUUUUCAUCAGUUUUUCUAUUAAUAUUUCGUUACAUUAUAUACAAAAAACUUCAGAUACCUCACCUAGGUUUAUCGAAUAUUCACUUUAGUACACUUUGGUUUUAACUUUGUCAUUGAUUUAACAAAAAAAAUUAGCUGAAUCGAUAAUAAAAAGAUAAAAAUAAAACCACAAGGUAUUAAAUUGAUACACUUUAAACCAUAGAGUACUAAAGUGAGAAAGUGUGAAACCACAAGAGUGGUAUUUGAAGGUUUUUGCAAAAAAAUUGCAAAUUUUAUGCUAUUAUCCUAGUAUUCAUAAAAAUUUAAAUAUUUUUUUUAUAAAAAUAAAAAAACGUUGAUGUAAUAAAUAGAUAAUUAAUGAUCUUUGAAUAAAGUGGUAUAAAAUGUACAUCCCACUUUGAAGUGUAUUAGUAGCAUUGUUUAUUAACUGAAGGUAAAUUGCACGUUUGGUCCUUAAACUAUAAAUGGGGUGAUAUUUUAAUUUGUAAAUUUUAAUUUAUUAUAAUUUUUAAUACGAAUUUUCAGAAUUAUUUAUAAUCAAGUCUCAUAAUUUAAUUUAGCUGACUAAAUAUUAACAUGUUAUAAUUCUAUUUAGCUUUGAAAUUUAGUCAAUUAAAUUAAACUAUAAGACUUAAAUUAUAAUAAUUCUAAAAAUUUAAAUUAAAAAUUAUAAUAUAUUAAAGUUGGAGAGCCAAAGCCAAAGAUUCUCAAUUGACUCAUAGUUUGAGGACACACAUGCAAAUGUGGUGGGGGCCACCACCAUCCACUCACAAAAAUAAAAAAAAAAAAAAUCGGGAAAAAUUAUUGAAUGUACCCUACGUACUGUGCACCGUGCACCACAUACAUAAAAUCGUACACUGCCCAUAAUAAAAUUAGAAUUUCACAACAUUAAAAAGUAUAAAUAUAAAAAAUUAUAAAUUUGAAAGGCCUAUAAUUAAUAAAUUGCAUAAUUAAUGCUCCUCUCUUUAACUUUGAUCCUUAUGGAUUAUCACAGACGAUGCCUCCAUAAUAUAAUUUGGGUAAACUUUAAAUAUCACCUAUAUAAUAUUGUACUUUCUUAUUUUAAUAUUUUAUAAUUUAAAAUAUAUUAAUUUAGUAUUUUGUGAUUUUUUUUUUGUCAGCUCCUCCGUUAACAUUUCAUUAAAUUAUAUACAAAAAAUUCAGAUACUCCAUCUAGAUUUAUCGAAUAUUCACUUUAGUACCUUUUAGUUUUAACUUUGUCACUGAUUUAAUGAAAAAAUUAAUAGAGGAAAUAAUAAAAACAGAAAAAUAAAAUCACAGAGUACUAAAUUGAUAUACUUUAAAACAUAUGGUAUAAAAAUAAAAAAAAAUGCGAAAUAUAGGAGUGAUAUUGGAAGUUUUUCUGUAUAAUUUUAAAAUUUAUCAUUUUUCAUGUAUACUUAGUCGUUUGAGAUACGGUAAAUCACGUCUAUUGGAAUAUAUUUGGAUCUGAGAGAUAUGAAUAAUUGAACACGGUGUAAUAAUAUAUGAGUCGUACGCAGAUAUUGGUUACAGCGAAAAAUUGAGAGGAGAAACUGAACUAGUUGAAAAAGAAAUUUUUCAAUACACCACAGCUAUUUAAAUCUAAUCGUUAAUUAGCGACGAAGUAAAACAGGUUACCGGCUUAGACUAGUCAACAGGAUAAUAUUGAAAGAUAAUUAAUGCAUACACCACAAUUGUUAGUGUUCUAUAAAAUUUUAAAUUUCUCAUUUAAUUUUGUUAUUUGCUAAAUUAGAUAAUGUUCAACUUGUUAAGUAUCUAACUCAAAAAAUAUUGAAUUUAAACUUGAUUUUUGAAUUUGGUGUUGUAUUGUAAAAUUUUGAUUUUGAAAAUUCAAAUUCAAGAAUCUAAAUUGUACUUUUAAUCUUAAGACCAAAAUUUGAUUUUUUUUUUUAUUUAAGUUGAAAAUUUGAAUUUGAACUGAAAUUUUAUUUCAAAUUUGUGUUUUAUACACAAGAAAAAUUGAAUUUGAUUCAAAAUUAAGUUUUGUAUGUUGUUUCCAUAUUAAAUUCGCAGUUUGAAUGUAAUUUGAAUUUCAGCUAUUGUAUGUUGUUUCCAUAUUAGACGUAUUCUAAUGAAUGGUAUCUAUACCUCAAUAACAGAUCAUUUCUAAGAUCAUAUUAUAUCUAAACCACUGAUUUAAGAAAAUAAACGGUCAAAGUUUACAUAAUAUAUUCAAGUAUGGCUCCUAGUUCAAAAGAACAAUUCAAAACAUAUAACAAAAAUGUGGAAGUUAGAAACAAGGAAAAAAGGAAUAUUCAUAGCAAAGACACACUAACUUGGUGGCUUGUUUUCUUACUGAUUCUUAUUGAAAUCUCCAAGGAGACUCUGCUAUAUAUAAAUAGACUUCAUUGUGAUCUCUUGGAAUAUUUGUCAACUGAGGAAGCUCUCUACUAUGGUCCAGUUUGGCCUCCCUUGGUUGUUGCUCUAUGACCAGAAAUUAUGACCUUUAUAAAUUAAUAAAUUAGAAAAGCAAUAACAAUUAUUGGUAAAGCACAAAUAUUGCCCUAUCAUGAUCAUGACAAAGCAUGUGGCGUUGAUGGUUCUCAAAUGUUCUAUCAUGACCAAGUAUAUAUUUUAGGAGCUCCCCCACUCCUAUGGUCCAAAAUGGACAGUAAUUUCUACAACUUGUGGAAACUUUUUUCUUCUUUUUUUUUUUUUUUUUUCCAACACUAAAACACAAAGUGUUGCCCCCACCAUGGUCCAUACUAUGGAGGGUUGUAGGAUUCCAACUUCUUUUGAGUUAUAGAUGUAUGAGUCUUUAUGUUUUUAUGGAUUUCAGAAAUUGAAUUCACGACUUUAAAAAUAUCUGUAGUGCCAAUAUUUAUUUCGACACUGAAGUCACGAGAUCAUUCAAAUAUCAACUUUCAAUCGUAUGGAAAUUAGCUUUUAACUUCAAAUGGAUCACUACCAUGCAUCCUGACCGCACAUCUCUUUAUUUAAUGGCCAAAAAUCUAAUAACACCAACGAUUUUUAUUAAUAGUAUAGAAGUCUAUAUAUACAUACGUAUUAUACAGUGAUUAGGCCAAACUUUUUCUGAAUGCUGUAUCAAAGUAGGAGUCCAUUACUUGACCCACACCACUGAGGCUUUGUUUGAAAAUGCGGUGGCCAAAUUGGCGGCCUACUUUGAUGUUUUAAAGAGGUUAAAAAUUCUGAAAAUAUUUUAGAGCUUUUCUCCUCUAAUGUUAUGAGAAAGACAUCAGCAGGAUUGACGGAAACAUCAGAAAUUCUCCACUCAGUUGAUUAGUAUGGAGCCAUUAACUUGAGUCACUAAUCUACAAGCUUCAUGAAACAAUACCUUUUCUCCAUUCAUUUGUCCCAUUCCUUGUGGCAAACAUGCUCCACUUUCGUUUCAUCACUCCAUGUAUAGCUUCAUUCCCGACUCCGCAAGUUUAAGCACCUUGAUUAUCAAUCUACUAAUAUAAAACACACAGAUCAAGCGAAAAUUUGUGACGACAAAUGAAAACAAAUCGGAAUAGAGGCAACAGAUUUUUGCAGUUCAACCACUAGACUACAUCACCAGCAUCCAUGAGUGAAGAAGAGUAGAAUUUCAACUGAGAAAACACACAAGCUGGCCAAAUUGCUUCUCUCAAAAAAUUCUAAUUCCAGUACAUUCAGAAACCCCGAACCUUAAAAUAUGCAACAGUAAAACAGCAGUAGCAAAACAUAAUACAGGUAGAACCCCAACUACAAAUACAGAUAGGGAUCAGAAAUCGAAACACAAGCCGCAAAAUAUGCCGUAGCAAAAUGACAUAACAAAUCAAUUCCGAGAAUUCAAGACUAACAAUAGCACAUGGUUGUGAUAAGAAACAUAGGUUGACGAUGAUGUUCGGCGUCUCAAGCCAAACAUCGAUUGACAAAAUGAGGUGCAGUAUCUCAAACUACACCCAAAAUUCUUCUUUACACUUAGGCAUGCAAAGUCUCUGAGGCUUUUGCGAUAACUGGUAGCUAAAAGCAUAGCAAAACAUUGCAGCUAAAAGCAUAGCAAAACAUUGCGUCCAGCAUGCGCAAGUUUGCACAGAAAAAUAUAAUGCCCAACGGCAAUAAAAAAUAUACACCAAUUACAACACCAGCAUCCUCUCUCAAGGAUCUAAAGGACUCAACAAAUUGCAGUGACAUGAAAACCUGACAAAAGCAGAAAGUGAACUAUUCUUCUUUCGAAACCCCGGAAGAUUAAGACAAAAAAGAAAAACUCGGUACCCCAAAAUGAAGUAUAAGUGAGCAGGGGUGCUGUGGUGGAGAUGCAAGAAUUGUACAGGAAAUAUCAGCACUAGCAAACUUGUGAGAGAUCGCAGCUUUGCAGUGUUGCUAGUUGAUUUAUCUGCAACCAACUCUCGUACACGGAGGGCCAAAACUAAAAGAGAGAAUUUGGCUAGUGCUUAGAACCAGCGGAAAAGCCGUUGCCUCUGCGCGCUACUGCUAGUUCCAGGUGGAGUCACAGAUAUCCUGUUGGCGUUAGCUACUACCCACCGAUUGAAAUCUGGAGAAGACACUAGCUCAUCCACCGCCUUCUUAGUCUGCUCUUUAGUGAAUGUCUCCCAUUCUUCUUUCGACAUCUUCCUCCUCUCAGGAGUAUUGUGAAAGGUGGAAAAAUAGUUAUCCUCCGCUCGCCUUUGCGGUGGCGUCCUGGUUAAACCUGCAAUGGGAUGCAAGAUUAAGAACAGUAAAAUGAGUUGAGUAAAGAUUUAGGACUAUACUCGUUACAGAAGCAUACCUAAAAUAGGGGAACUGCAAGAAGUGAGUCCAGAGUAUUUGCGAGGCCAAGGAGGUGAUUCAUAUACUGGACGGUCGUAAUUGUUCAAGUAUUCUUCAUGAGAAUAUUUUGGGGGCGAUGCAUUAAGUCGAGUUCUUUGAACACUCUUGAUAAUCCGCCUGCCAGAUCAGUGUAAUUUUGUCAAGUUGUUACAAUUAGUCAUCACGAAGGAAAAAUCAGAAGACUAUAGGUGGUGCAGGAUGUGAGCAUGGACACACAAAAGGAGCAUUUCCUUUUUUAUUACUACAGUUCAAUUAAGCAAGAGGAUAUGAAACAUGCAGUUCAAGAAAGAGGACGACAGCAAGACAAGGGAAUUAAAAAUAAACAACACUAUUUUCUUUUCCUAUAGAAAGAAGGCGGUUGAUGGUAACAUAAAAAGUUUUCAUAUUAAACAACCUUGUCGAACACCAGAGCAUAAGGGGCCCCUAAGUUAAGAGUAUCACCCUCCUAAAAGCAAAACAUGAAAUACUCAAUGAAGACAAUUUACUCAUACAUAAAGCAUCCAAUAAGCAAACACAUAAUCCAGUUAAGACUUAUAUAGAAUAAAAUUAAGUAAUAAUUUGUGUAGUUCCAAGCAUCACAAAAUUUUUCUGAAUCUGUUUGAUGAUUUGCUCUACCUUUAUUGUUUUAUUUUCUAAUUUCCUCUUUAGAUUAUUCCAGACAUUUCAAACCAAGAAGUACAAAGGUGAAGUCCAAGAGGCUAAAACUUUCAAAGCUUGGUGUAUAUUUCCUACUUUACAACUAAGAUUUGUAACAAAAAUAUUACUGUUACCAAUAAUUAUUCUCAGCUAUACCCACAAAAAUGGAAUAAAUCCAAAAAAUAAAUUAAAGCCAAGAAGUAAUAGCAUCUGCAACUACAAAGCAUAGAACUCGCAUGGUCAAUUAAAGCAUGCUGCAUAAGCAUUUAGUGAGAUUUGGCGAAUAUAAUACAAUUGAGAAAAGCUGGAAAAUUAGUUUUAACGCCAAAAUGAAUAAACAGUCAUAAAGACACAAGGAUAAAGAAAAGACAUGGCAAUAUAUUUUUAUUAGUACUUCUUAAGCAAAGAUUUGUAAUAGUUGAUGGUGGACUAGCGGUAGCAAUACAUAUCAAUAACGCUUUGGCAAAAAAAUGAGUGCACAGUGCAACAUAACUACCUGACCAGGCGACGUAAGAAUCUCGAUUUUCCAUGAUUCCUCGUUAUGGCUGUUAUUAGGACAGAGAAACCCAAAGCUGCAAUUGCAAACACCACAUCCAGAGAGCUCUAGGUACAGUAAAGAACAGGAAAGAUUAGUAACAAUGAUUGCAAUUGUUGACAUAGAUAUGGUACAGUAGGUACUCUAGUAGGGAAAAGAAGCUAACAGGCAGAUGAACAGGCUAAAAUUUUCUAACGAUCAAUAACUAAAAGCUAGUCACUCAAAGGAGAUUUACCUGGAGUAUCAUUACAGCAGAAAGAAUCAUAAUUGACCAUUCAACAAAAUAAGCCACACUAGAGUCAACUGAUCCUUCCUCUGUUAGAACAAGCUUCCGAACACCCCAAAAACCAAACCAAGCUCCAGCCAAAACGAUGCAUACGAGAAUUAUUAUACCCAACUGCAGUAACAAUUCAUUAGAACAAUGAAAAAUAUUAGUUAGUCUUAUUAAUCAUCAUAGAAACAUAAAUCAAGUUUUCUUUGAGUGUUGUCAAAUCCUGCAUGUGACAGUUGCAUGCGAUUACGAGCGGCACAUUGCUUGGAAAGAGAUCAAGGCAAUUUUCAGCAGUAUAAGAAAUGAUUGCAUAAACACACUUGAUGCUCAUAUCAUUUGGAAAUUUUCAGCAGUAUAAUAAAUAAUUGCAUAAACACACUUGAUACUAAUAGUAUUUGUGACAGCUAAUCUUAGUGAAGAUGAUUGAGCGGCACAGCACUAUUAAGAACUCUAGAAAUUCAUGUGUGCAGCACGUAUGAUCUCUCCUUCAAUUUAUAGAUGCCGACUGGAAGAUAUGAACAUGAAUUGAACCCUCCUAAUUAAGCUACAAAAAAUAAUAGAUCCUCCACCUAUCUAAGAUUCAUUCCCAUCUUACUUAAAACUAAUCUAGAGACAGUAGCUGCCACAGAAAGCAGAUAAAGUUAAAUGACAAAAAAUGACUUUGAGAGAACAAUUUUUUUUGUGUCAUAAGGCUCUUUUGCAGUUUCAUUGUAACGAAGUAUCGCCCGAAUGCAGUGCAGCAGUAAACCCAAUAUCUGAGUAGGCCAAUAAACUGCAUUAGUUAUUGCAAUCAUCCUAUGACAAAGUUGCUUCACAUCAAAGGCAUAUUUAAUUAGUACGCUUAAGAUGAGCCACGAAGUGACCGUGGCUUAUAAACAAGAAAACAAUGAAUAAAGCACAAAGAAACUUACAUACAGGAUAGUGCAUAUCUUCACUAAUUCCUAUCUCCACAAGAAUUGAUCGCAAAAACCCAGACAAAUAACUGAGAAGAAAGGUUGUAACACCCACCUGUCAUCAAAGAAGAUAUAUUACUACAUUAGCCAAUGCCAUCGGGAUGCAUUAAUGUGGAAAUAGCUUUUCAAGGUCAUUACUUACAGCUGAUGAGUACAUAAAUAUUGCAAGAGAGCUCUUUCGACCUGUCGGUAGUAGCCUCAUUCCCUGCAAAGAAUCAGAUAAGUUCCUCAAAUUACAGCAAUUGAGAAGAGAGUGACAUUAAACAAAAUGGCACCCUAACCUCUAAUUCUUACUUGCAUCCGUUUCUCUUUAUUACAACAAAUACUGAAUUGUAUAUAUAAUUAGCAUCAUUCUAACAACCAACUAAGUUGGCAGCAUUUAGGCAUCCUAGACAGAAAAGGUCCACAAAUAAGCAGCGCAUCUCGCAACGAUGCAUGUAAUUGAAUAAUGAUACAAAAAUGGAUGCUUUUGUUAUAAAGCAUUUGUUUUUCCUCCUCUUUAAAUUGCACUAGUAAGAGUGAGAGAUGUCUAUCCUGCACCUAGUGGCAUGGGGCAUCAUCUAAGCCACGAGUAUCCCUAGACUCGAGAGUUGAUUAGCAUGAUACCCAUUACUAAACACACAUUUAGGCUACUUAAACUAACAAAUGCACAUCCACAUAGAAAAGCACAUGAUGGUGAUAAUAUAAACAUAAACACAAUUUCACGAAAAUUGAAUUAUAACUGUGAAACCCAAUCUGAAGCACAGAAAUAGAGCUAGAGGGUGAACCAGUACCUGAAAAAGGAUCAUCAGUAUCACCAGGAUGAUGCCAAUUGUCAUUGCACCGCCAUAAUAGAACACCACAGACUCACUUAAGGUGUGAGCUGUCGCCAUCAUGACCAUUCCCACUACCAGGAAAACAACCCUAAAAAGCACAAACUCUGCAAGUACAUGAAUCACCAGUAUCAACAACCACACUAAUACAUAAGAAACCUAAAACCCAUGAUUGCAAGUAUAUAACAAAAUACAUCUAAAGAACACCUUCCGCAGUGGAGACCUCAAUGGUCCUCGAGGGAUCCGGCGGCAUCCGAAUAUCCAAAAUCCUGUGCUCGUAAGGCGACAUGGAUUGAACCCACGAACUCUUCGAAAGCUUCUGCCACUGGGACGCCGGGCACGUCCCGAUCCCAAUCGACGCGUUCCUGCAUCGAAUACAACAAAUUCGAAUCAACAACCCAUCGGAGUCGCAUGCAAAGCUAGGGUUUUUGCGGGGAUUUACCGGUGGAAGCAGAGCUCGACGCUCUGGACCCGGAAAAGGCCGUCGCCUUGGGGGACGUCGACGGAGACCCUGAGCGCGUGGGCGAACCUGCACGGGUUGCGGAGCCGGGAGAGGCCGCGGAUGUGGACGCGGGCGCAGGCGAGGGGGCGGGAGCCGGGGGAGGGGUCGACGAGGCGGCCGAGGGGGAGCAGGAGCUUGGAAGGGUGGGAAUCGACUGCGGAAACGACGAAAACAAGGAGAAUGGUGAGACGAGAGGGUUAGGAGGAAAUUUCAAAGGGGAAAAUUAGGGCUUCUUCUAGGGUUUUUGGAUUCGUUACCUGUGAACUCGUCGGGGGAGGAGAGAGAUGAGGAGGUGGAGAAGAGGAGGAGGAGGAGAGAGAGGAGAAGGGGAAGGGGAGAGGAGCGCAUGGUCGCGUUUUUGGGGAGGAGGGGUGGGGGAGAAGAGAGAGGGAGGGAAAGGUUUAGAGAGAGGAGGACGCUUCGAUAGUAAGGAAUUUAUAUGUCGAAAAUAGAAAUUGGAAAAUCUAUGGACACCCCCUGCACUAUAGAAUAUUCUGCACCGGCCCUCUCAACAGCUUUUUUAUAUGUGAUUUAAUGAAGAAUUAACGGACGCGCUGAAAAUAUAUAUAUAUAUAUAUAUAUAGAGUGGAGCUAGAAUAUUUUUACAAGUAUCACCUGGGUGGUGCUUUAGUGUUUUUAGCCCUUGGAUGGAGAGAUAUGAGGUUGAGACGAUAGUGGUAGGUGGUGGUGAUACUUGUAAAAGUAUCCUAGCUCAACUCUAUAUAUAUAUAUAUAUAUAGUUGGACUGGGCUAUUAUUGGUAGCAAAAUCUCAUUGUUGCUAUCAGUUUUUUAGCCUUUGGAUCAACUCUUUUCAUUAUUUUUAACCAUUGGAUUAAAUACUAUAACCCAGUGGAGACCACUCAACCCUAGGGGAACCACUCAACUCUAACCGACUAAUAUCAUCCUGAUUCUAUAAUUUUUCUUCCAAGAGUUAAAAACUUGAUAGCAAAAAGAGCGUUUUACUAUUAGUAGUAUUCCAGCCUAAUUCUAUAUAUAUAUAUAUAUAUAUAUAUAUAUAUAUAGAGUUGAGCUGGAAUGCUAUNUAUAUAUAUAUAUAUAUAAAGUGCUAAAAUAAUACACUUUAAAUUAUAAAAUUUUAAAAUAAAAAAAGCAACAUCACAGAGGUGAAAUUUGAAAUUUAAUCAAAAUUUUUUUGACGAGUCACAUAAAUUUUCACUACGGCUCCUUAAACAUUUAAGUAUAUCACACUACCUGCGGCCAAUAGGAAUGCAAACUGAACGAAUCUGAGGGCAGGAACCCGCCCCGCUAGGGGUGGCAAUUCAGCUCGCUGUUCGUGAGCCAGCUCGUGUUCGGCUCGAAAUGAGCUCGAGAUCGGCUCGCUCGUUUAGUAAACGAGUCGAACACGAACUGGAUUUUUCAGCUCGUUUAAUAAACGAGCCGAACACGAGCUGGGAUCAGCUCGUUCGUGUUCGGCUAGAUAACAGCUCGAAUACAUAUAUUUUAUAUUUAUAUAAUUUAUUUAAUUUAUAUUUUUAUAUAUAAAUAAAUAAUUAUAUAUAAUAUAUAUUUUUAUUAUUUAAUUUUUAGCAAAAUAAAAAUAUAAAUGCUAGUAAUUAUAAAAAAACUCAUUUAUAUGUAAAUGUUUCAACAUUAGAUCAAAGUUUAAUGGAUAAAAUUUUAUAAAAUUUAUUUUUUAUAUAUAUUUAAUCUAUUUUUUUUUAAUUUAUUGUUCGUGGCCAGCUCGUGAGCCAGCUCGUGUUCGGCUCGUUUAUUAACGAGCCGAACACGAGCCGACCCCAGCUCGCUUGUGUUCGGCUCGUUUACACCCCUACGCCCCGCCUCACGCGCCCCGACUAACAAAAUCCUAUCACGCCUCCCGCCUCGAAUCUAUGACGGAUUAAAAAAUAUAUUUUAUAAUCCACCUCGCCUCGUAACUUGCUUCCUCCCGGCGCCCCGAAUCUGCCCUAUCAACUAAUAUUUUUUAUAAAAUUUUAAUAUUAUUAAAAUUUUAUAAAAUAUAAAUUAAUAAUUUUUAAUAAUAAUAUAUAUAUAUAUAAUUAACAACAUUAAUUAUAAAAAGUAAAAAUAUGAAUCACAAUUCAAAGUAAAAUUCAAAAGUUUUAAAUACAUGAGAAAUAAGAACACUAAAUUAUUUGUAUUUUGAAUUUUUUUUUAUAAAUACAUUAUUUUUUAGAAAUAUUUUUUAAAAUAUAAAUGAUUUUCAGAACGUAUUCGCGGCGGAUCAAAAUUUCUCCCGUUUUCUAUCCCGAAUUCGUCUCGGAUCAUAAAAAUUAAAUCGUUUUCCGCCCUGAAUCUAUUUAUUUUCUUUCGUUUACUGCCUCAUUCUAGACAAAUCGGGGCGGAAGCUCCACCAACCGGGAUCCGUUGCAUCCCUAGCGGCCGAACGUUUGAACAAGUUUCAUUUUGGUCCCCAAACUCUCUUUUUAUUAUUAUUUCAUAUUUCAUUUCGUUUUUCAAAUUUUGUUUUGUUAUUAUUUCUUUUUGGUAGGUAAACUCUGAAGUACGAUGCUAGAUUUUACAAAUUGUUUAUUUUAGUUGCUGUACAAAUUUAUCUUCAAAUGCAAAUUUGUUGCCUAGAUCUAGCACACAUGUAUAUUUAUGUACUGUGCCGAUACUAAAUUUUUUUCCCAUCUACUCUCCAUUGUGUUAUAAUAUUUGGCUAUGUGUUUGGAUUUUGGAAAUAUAUUCCAAAAUAUAAUUUUCUAGUGUAAAAAAUAUUUUUUUAUCUUUCUAACUCCUAGAGAAAAUAGUUUUUCCGAAUUUAUUUCGCAAAAUUUAUAAAAAUAGUAUUUAUAUUUUUUAAUUUUUUAUUUAAAAAAUAAAAAUUUUAAAAAAUAGUAUUUUUUUAUUUUUGAAACAAUUCUUUUCCUAAAAAAAAGUUUUUCGUACAUUUUUGGAGAACCAAACGCUUCUGAGAUUGAAUUAUUAAUUAAAAUUAUAAGGCGAAUAAAGGAUUGAUGGAUUUUUUACGGUACAUUUAAAUGAACUAGAUCCAAGCAAUAAAUUUUUUUUUUCAAAGCUAAGGCUUCAAAUGAAAUAUAACUAAAAAUUUAGAGGCUGAAUUAAGUUAUAAUUAGAAGUUUAGGAUUUCAAAUAUUAAAUUAAAAAAUUUGAGUAACAAAAUAAAACUUGCUUUCACCUCUGGGGGCAAAUAAUGCAAUAUAGCCCUAAAUUGUUGAUUGAAAUUGACUAGCUUAAAUUUUACAUUUAACACUUUUAUAUUUUUAGGAUUAUUUUAUUUUAGCUUAAAUUUUUGGAUGUUGAAGAAUGAUUGACUGAAAAUGCAGAUCACUUGCAUGCUCUUUUCAUAAGGACUUUUUUUUGAUCUUUCAAAAUAAGAAAGUGAGUGUUUUUGACAACGCGAUAUCAAAUUAGCCCUAACUAAUGCCUACCUAACCUGGCUAGAAUCCUCGAAACAAUGUCUCUACUUGAAGAAACAUAAUGCAAGAGUUCGGCACCGAAAGGACCUAACGCGUUUGCUAAGAGAAAUAGCCGAAAUGAAAAUAUGAAGAAUUAUAUAUUGGUUAUUUAUUAUUGGGCGAAAAUAUAUCCAACUUUCUGCUCCGUGACAAUAGGUCCAAAAAGACUAAUAAGUUGAGUUAGAUGAGUCUAAUAAGUGGAGCGGAGAUGUGGUCCACAAGUGGCCUAACGGCAAGAAGCCCAACAAUAGAUCCAACAUUCAGAUGGAUUGAGUGAGGUCAAAAUCUGCGAGCGCUGUUACUGAGUCCUUAAGUGCGAUGGAUGCGUCCUUCCUAUCAGCACGUGUUUUUGAGAUAGUUGUUUAACACUUAUGAUCCACACUAUACACAUUAAAUUUUAGGGCAUGUUUGGUACAGGAAUCUCUUAUGGAAUAUAUUUUUUUAACUUAUCCAAAGACUUUAUAGUGUUUGGUGGAUAGGAAUAUAAUUAAAUAUCUGGAAUGAAAUAGCACAUAAUUAUUUUAAUUUUUUUUUAAAAAAUAAGAUAAAUCAGCUUAUCAGUGAAAUAUGUUAUUCUACCAAAUUACAAAUAUUAAGAUCUUAAAAACAAUUAUCAAACUGAUUGCUUUGGCAUCAAAUUUAAAAUUUAUUAUUAUCCUAUUUUCGUCAAAUGACUAGUUAAUUACUUAUUUGUCAAUGAAAAAGUCGUUCACCAUGAUAUUACACACUGCUCAAAACUCUCCCAAAUUUGUCUUAUACAAUUUGAGUAAAGAAGAUUUUUACGAAGUUACAACUACUAUCCAAGACAAACAGAAAUUCUCGUUUAAAUAGCAAAUAACGAAGCCACAACAAUAAAACCAUGUUCACGACACACACAUAUAUAUAUAUAUAUAUAUAUAUAUAUAUAUAGUCCUCUAUGGUGCUAUGAUAAAAACAAGCCGAACGUAACGGUUUGGUGGCCUCAUAAAUUUUUACCGUCAGAUUCUACUCCUCGGAUUAUUUUAAGCAUGUUAGAUUAUACUAUUCUAAACAAGCAUCGCACUCCAAACCCUAGGGGCCCACACAUCACGUACCGCACAUCGCCUUUAAUCUAACAGCUAAAAAUCUACAAACACCAAUAACUUGGUAAUAUUAAAAACAUAGGCGCUUAAAUAUAUAUAUAGAGGAAGAGAAAGAGAGAGAAGAGAGAGAGGCUAGAGCUACUUAUCUGACUUUAAUAGGGAUAGGAGAGAUUGUCCUAUCAAUGUUGUGAUGAUCUAGAAGGUUACCGAAUCGGAUGAUCGAGCCGUUGAAAUUGAUCUAGAGUAUUUGAAAUAUCUAGAACAUAAAUUUCAUAAAUUUUAAAAAUUAUUUACAUGGUGAUCAAAGGUACGUAAAAUCGACAAUUUUAUGACAGGCACUAUAUGAGCGGCGUUUGCUUGUUAAACGUGUAAGGAGUAAUCCAAAUGCUUGAAUUUUUUGAUAGAAAUUCCUUUAUACUAUUUAAUAAUGUUUGAGUAACUCUAGAUAUGAAUUGAGAAAGGCCUAACCUCUAGUUGUAGAAAGUUAUUUCAUGUUAUGAGCCGUUCAUUUUUUAACUAAUCUCUUAAAAUAACUUGAUAAUGAUUUUAUAUAUACAAAAUUUGGUUCUAAAUAUUUCUAAAUUUGUAGAUCAAUUUCCAACGGUCCGGCCGAUUAUCAUUGAAGUUCGUCAAAUCAAACAACCUUGAUAGGACAAAUGGCUCCCAAUCCUAUUAAUAGAACUAUAGCCGGACUUAUAUAUAAGUGGCGUUUGGUAUGCCUUCUGGAAACAUGGACGGCUCUGUGUGCUUCCAAGUUAAUUUUCGAUGUUCGGACUUUCGAAUCGAUAUCGCUGCCGUUAGAGUUGAUCUAGAAGUAUUUUGAAGUAGCUAGAAAUAAAUUUUGUGAUUUUUGUCGAUAUCAUUUGGCCUAGUGAUCGAAGGGCUCAAAUUCAAUAAUUUUAACGGCCGUGGUGAGCCGUUUGGCAAGUUUAACGGUGUAGAAAAUGACAAAUCACACUUAAAAUUUUGCAUAUGACAAAAAUUCUUUAUACCAUAUAAAACAAGAUCAAUUAACUUUGAUCUAAAAUUUUAAUGUCCAUAUCAUGUCAUAUUUUGUAAGAUUUUUAUUUUCCAGCCGUUGAUUUUGAGCCAUUUCCGAUCCUAGCAAAUGAUAUCGAAAAAUCGCAAAAAAUUUAGUUUUUAGAUACUUCAAAAUACUCUAAUCAAGUCCUAACGAGCCGAUCGUCGAUAUCCGAAGUCCGAACAUCGAAAAACCUAACUUGGAAGCACGGAGUCGCUCCGUGCUUCCAACGACCGCAUAUAUAUAUAUAUAUAGAGUAGGGCUAGAAUACUUUUACAGAGUAUGCCCCAAGUGAUACUUGUGUGUUUUUACCCUUGGAAUGGAGAGAUGUGAGUGAAAAUGAUGGGGUAGGUGGUGGAGGUGUGGUAUGGAAUAAGUUUGGAUCCAAGGGCUAUUUGUAAAUCAAAAAGUAGAUCCAAUGGCUAAAAACGUGAUAGCAACAUGAGGAUGAUACUUGUAAAAGUAUCCUAAGAUAAAGACUUAUAUAUAUAUAUAUAUAUAUAUUCGAUGUGUCUACUAUACUCUCGAAAAGUACCGACCUUUCGUGCUUGUAAGUUGUUUGUCUAUGAUUAAAUAAACAUCCGAUUCCGCAAUCGGCUCCGUUAGGUAUAAUCUACUCUAUUGGACUAUCAGAAACCAAAUUUUAUAAUUUUUGAGCAAUCAUUUACUAAGCGAUCAAUAAGGUCGCAAAAAUGACUAUUUUAUAUGCGAAUGCGGUACAUUUUUAGUUCAACGGUGUAAGAAAUAUCCAAAUACAUAAAUUUAAUAGAAAUUCUAACUAAACUCAAUAGCAAGAUCAAUACUUCUGAUUUGAAAUUUGAGUCAUUUCAUUUUUUUUAUGAGAUUUUUAUUUCAGGCCGUUCAUUUUGAGGCUACGGUGUCAGCUAGGCAAACAAAGUCAAAAUUAAUGAAUUUGAUCUAGAUAUUCAAUACGUAGAUUCAUCGUCUAACGAAACCGAUCACUAUCGAAUUGGACCGUCCCAUCAUCCGAAACUUAAUUGAUUAAGUAACGGAGGCCCCAUACUGUCGAAAGCAUAGAGUCUAAACUCUCUCUCUCUAUAUAUAUAUAUAUUAAUAUAUAUAUAAUAUAUAUUAUAUAUAUAUAUAUAUAUAUAGAGUGAGGCUACUCAUGCUAUCGGAAGCCAGAGCCUUUCGUGCUUCCAGCUCGUUUUCGAUGUUGCGACUUUCGAAUCGUCGAUCGGCUCCGUAAAACUUGAUCUAGAGUAUUUGGAGUAUCUUAGAAAAUAAAUUUUAUUAUUUCGAUAUCAUUUGCCUAUAAUCGAAUGGGCUCAAAAUCAACAAUUUCAAAUGGCCGUAGUGAGCCGUUUGCAAGUUUAACGGUGUAGAAAUAUCCAAAUCAACGUAAAUUUUGAUAGAAAAUUCUUAUACUAUAUAAAACAAGAUCAAUAUCUUUGAAUUUAAAAUUUUAAUGUCAUUAUUACAUUUUAUAAGAUUUUUAUUUUCAGCUCGUUGAUUUUGAGCCCCUGUUCACAUAGGCAAAUGAUAUCGUAAAAUUAAUAAAAUUUAUUUUCUAGUACUUCAAAUACUCAGAUCAAGUUUAACGGCCCGUCGACGAAUUCGAAAGUCCAAACAUCGAAAAUGAGCUGGAAGCACGGAAGGCUCCGUGCUUCGAUAGCAUAGUAGCCCACUCUAUAUAUAUAAUAUAUAUAUAUAUAUAUAUAUUAUAUAUAUAUAUAUAGAGUUGAGCUAGAAUACUCUCGAUAGUAAACGAGCAUUUUACUAUCGAGUUGUUUCGAUGAUAGAGCUUCCAAAUUGACGAUCGGCUCCGUUAAAUAUAAUUCUAAAUCAUUUAAACUACCUAGAAUCAAUUCACGCACUUCGAUUUCUUCUUUUAUCCAUCUAGUGAACAGAAAAUGAAUGGUUGAAAUGAAAAUUCUUUAAAAAAAUGAUGAUAGGAGUCUUGUAAUCAGAUCAAGAGUAUAGAUCUUGUUUAAAAUGUUUAAAGAAUUUUCUAACAAAAAUCAAUGUUUGGAUAUCUUACACCGUUAAACGAGAAAAACGUCUCUAAUCCACCAUUAAAAUUACAAAUUUUGAAACCCUUUGAUCAUUAGGCAAAUGAUGUCGAAAAGAUUUGAAAUUUGAUUUAAAACACUUUAAGUGGUAUAGAUCAUGUUCAACGGAGCCGAUCGUCAAUUUGGAAGCUCAUAUUCAUCGAAAACAACUCGAUAGUAAAAUGCCCUGUUUACUAUCGAGAGUAUUCUAUCUCAACUCUAUAUAUUAUAUAUAAUAUUAUAGUAGGGUUAGAAUACUUGUAAAAGUAUCAAGGGGGUGAUACUUGUUGUUUUUAGCCUUGGAUGGAGAGAUGUGAGGUUGAGAUGAUGGUGGUGGUGUGUGUAGGUUGGUGAUAGUGAAUAAGUGUUUAAUCAAGGCUAUUAAUAAUCAAAAAGUAGACUCCAAUCCAUUAAAAUCUAAUACACCAUGAUGGUGAACUUGUAAAAGUAUCAUAGCUCAACUCUAUAUAUAUAUAUAUAUAUAUAUAAUAUAUAUUAACAAUGAAGCAAAAGUUUGAUUUAAAAUGUAACAUGAACUAAACUUUAAAAUCUAUUUCGCUGUUUAUACGUCGGAUCCUUUAAAAAGGGAAAAAAAAAAAAAAAAAAAAGUGAAACUUUUGAUAUUCAAAGGUAGAGAUGAUGAGCAAAUUGAUCUAACUCUCCCUUCUGCAAUGCUCUGCAAAUUGCCUCCAAAGCCCACACUUCGACAAUUUGUAAGUAGUCAUAACAUCUCCGCUUACGUCGCUUUGAGCUCGAAACUGUUAUCCUUUCUUUCUCGCUCUCCAUCCUUUCUGCAAUAAGAAAAGAUAAACCGUAAAAAUACAAAUUUGAUUUGCGAGAGUAUGAACAACGCUCACACCUAUUACAGCGUUGAAUUUUUUAUUUUUAGUUUCGAUACUGUCGUACUUUUUUGACUUUUGAUUCUGUCGAGUUAAACAGAUAGUAUAAAAAACUGAGAAAAGGAAUUAAUGGAUAAAUUGUGAUAAUUAAAUGCUAUGAUGCAAGUUUAGAUAAUUGUAUAAUUAAACAUCAGGCAAUAUAAUAUAUAUAUAGAGUGAGGCUACUAUGCUAUUGGAAGCAUGAGCUUCCGUGUUCACAGCUCGUUUUCAAAUGUUGCGACUUUCAAAUCGUCGAUCGGCUCGUUAAACUUGAUCUAGAUAUUUGAAUAUCUAGAAUAAAUUUAUAUUUUACGAUAUCAUUGCCUAUGAACGAAGGGCUCAAAAUCAACGGUUGAAAAUAAAAAUCUUACAAAAUGUAAAAUGACAUUAAAAUUUUAAAUCAAAGAUAUUGAUCUUGUUUAUAUAGUAUAAAGAUUUUCUAUCAAUUUCAUAUGAUUUGGAUAUUUACACCGUAAACUUGCAAACGGCUCACUAUGGCCAUUGAAAUUUGUUAUUUUGAGCAUAUUUCGAUCACUAGGCAAAUAUGAUCUCGAAAAAUAAUAAAAUUUAUUUUCUAGGUACUUCCAAAUACUCUAGAUCAAGUUUAACAGAGCCGAUCGACGAUUCGAAAGUCGCAACAUCGAAAACAAGCUGGAAGCACGAAAGGCUCCGUGCUUCCGAUAGCAUAGUAGCCUUACUUCUAUAUAUAUAUAUAUAUAUAAUAUAUAUUAUAUAUAUAUAUAAUAUAUUAUAUGUAGUUAGUAAGUUCAAUGCUUAUUAACCUAUAUGAAUUCCUAAUGUUUUUGCCACGUGGCAAGUUUUUUUUCAACCCCACUUUCUAUUCAAUGACGUUGGCUUUUUCCCUCUCCCCAACCCUCUCUAUUCAAUGAUCUCUAAUCAAUGUACUCUUUAAUUUAUACGUUACUUAUUUUUCUCUUCAAUAUUGGUCAUUUAUUCUCCCUCAAAUCUCUUUUCAACGUCAAACCCUUCACCUCUUCCUGUCCUUUAAAACCACAAGAAUUAAUUAAUCCAAAAUGCAACAUUUAAUUAUAUACACCAUAUUUCACCAAUGAGUAAGCUUUGUAAUUCCAAUCCACUCCCCACCUCCAUUAACCCGGGCCCCCGAACCCUCUCUCUUUUGUAUUGCCUCACCUCCAUUAACCCGGGCCCCCGAACCCCCUCUCUUUUGUAUUGCCUGUUAUUUUUCAUGCAAAAAAGAACAUUAUCAUCUAAUCUCCCACCCCACAUUCAUCUUGCUUUCUCUCUCGUGUUAGUGAAGUUGAUGAGGAUGAUGAUGAAGAAAAAGAACAUGCAAAGAACGUUGUCUCUUUCAAGAAGUAUCGUCCUGCAAAUCCGAGCGGCGAUCCAUAUAAGUGCCCGCUGGGUUGAUUCAGCUGCGUUAGAGCUAGCUCUUUUUUUUUUUUUUUUUUCCUUUCACAACGGAAUGUUCAAGGGUCACAUAAUAUAAUAAAAUUGUAUGUCUUUUACUGUAUUUCAAUGAUUUUAAAAAAAAUUAUAUAAACUUCUAACUAUAAUUUUAUGCUUUUAACAAUUAAAUUUAGUCAUGCAAAUUGACCGUACUUAACAUGGUAUAGUUUUCUAUAUAUCAAUAAGCUGUAAAUAUAAAUUUUAUUAAAAUUUUAAAAAUUUGCUUUUAUUAUCUAUCCACUGUAUUGCGCUGAUCUCUACACUAGUUUGUAAUAAACUUCAAUAUUGUUGAUAUAAGAAUGUAGAAUAAGCAACAAAUAUAAUAAAGAGAUUACAUUAGUCCGCGUUGUUGGAUUGUUGGAAGAUCACAUCUCAACGUGGUUUCAGGGAAUGAGUACCAAACCAACCGGCAAAAACCUAGCAAGCUAUUUUAAUUAAGUAAUUUUUUCUUUAAAUGUGUUUUGAUUAAGUGGUUUAUUGUGUUCUUGUCUAAAACAACAUAUGUAUAUUGAGUAGAAUUUGUGCCAUUUUACGUGCAGACCAAUUCGUAGCGUGGACUAGAACAAAAUACUAUUAUAAGCAAUUUACAUUAUUUAGAAAAGUCUAUAUAUAAAAAAUUAUAAAAUUUAAAAAUUUCAUGCAAAAGCAUCAAUCUAUCGAAUAACCACAAUAAUUAACAAUAGAAAAAAGGCGACCGCUUGGUUGUGAUAUAUCGACAUUUUGAAUACUAUCAAAUGUAAGCAGUCUAUCUUAUCUCAUCACUUACUUCAAUCUCAGUCACGGACUGCAACUUUAAUUUUUGGUUAAGUUACUCUUUAAUUUGAAUUUAAUUCCUUUAAUGGUCACUUUUACAAAGGUUUUUAAAUUCGAAAUUAUUUACAGUUCGAAAAUAAUGUCUGGUCACAUAUUACUAGCUAAAUCAGUAGUUCAACCACUGAAUUAAUUGACGUCAGUAUAUUCAGACUAUAUAAAAAAUAUUUACGAAGUAUUGUAUAUAUUAUUUUUUAAUAUUAUUAUGUUAUUAUAUAUAAUUAAAGAUCUAUCCAAAGUAUUUAUUGAUUAUUAAAAAACUGACACAUAUUUUAAUUAAUCAUUAAAAUAUUAAAUAAAAAUAAUUAAACUAGGAUAGUUUUUUUUUUUAAAUGGAACCAGCUAACAGUCGCUAGUUGAACCACUGGUCUGAACGGAUCCAAGCGAGUUUUGAGCAAGUAUGGUUUCAUGGGUUGAAUCGAAUCACGUUGGGCGUUACACAACCGGUCUACGAACGCUCGGUGUUCCGUGUUCCCGUCCUUAAACGAGUCUGGUAUCGACAUGUCAGCAGCAGGAGACAGGUAAAGACCAACACGCCACAUAUCCGCACUCCGGGGGAAUUUUCCCGACAUUGUCAAAUACCGCCUUGACCACUAAAAAACAAGCAAAAUUUUUGUUCCAAUUUUUCUACAUUUCCCUACACAAAAACUGAUGAUUUUAUAUAUAUAUAUAUAUAGUUUGGUUGGAAUACUAUUGAUAGCACGAAGUAUUUGAUGCUAUCAAAUUUUCUACCGUUAAAUUUAUCUCUUUUAUCAUUUUUAUCCGUUCGAUUAUACUAUUCAACCAACUAUCCACUCAACCCUAGAAGACCUACAUCAUCCUAAUCGCACAUCUUUGAAUCUAAGGAUAAAAAACUUUAUAGCAUCAAGUUAUUGGUGCUAUUAAUAAUAUUUCAGCCUAGUUCUAUAUAUAUAUAUAUAUAUAUAUAUAUAUAUAUAGAGAGAGAGAGAGAGAGAGAGAGAGAGAGAGAGAGAGAGUACGUCUUUUGAAAGUACGGAGGUCUCCGUAUUUAUAAUUUAUUUUAAAUGAUAGGACAUCCGAUUCGACUAUCGGCUCUAUUAGGUAUAAUCUACCAUAUUAGAACUAUUUAGAAAUCAAAAUUCAUAAUUUUUUACAUUAUUUAAUUACCAAGUGAUCAAAAUAUCUCAAAAUUAACUAUUUUAAUGAUUGAUGUGGCACGUUUUUAAAUUCAACGGUGUAAAGCAAUCCAAAUUAUAUGAAACUUUAAUAGAAAACUUUACUUAACAUCAAUAGCAAGAUCAAUACUUGUGAUUUGAAAUUUGAGUCUCUUAUCACUGGUUUUUAUAAAAUUUUUAUUUUAAGCCGUUCAUUUUGAGGCUAUUCAUUCACUAGAUAAAUGAAAUCAAAAAAUUAUGAAAUUUUGUUUUUAGAUAGUUCUAAUAGUAUAGAUCAUGUCUAAUGGAAUUAAUCGCCGAAUCGGAUGUCCCAUCAUUGAAAAUAACUUAAAAGCAUGAAAAUCUCUGUACUUUCGAAAGCAUAGGAGCCUAGCUCUCUCUCUCUCUCUCUCUCUCUCUCUCUAUAGUAUGUAAAUAGUUCAAAUUGUUAUGAACAAUCAAUGUGCGUUUCUAAUGUGUUGGAUUUUGGAAUCAGUUUUUUUAUGUCAUAUUUGUUAAUAUGUUAACAGUUUAUAAAAAUUAUGUUAUAAAAACGUGUAGCAGUACAGCUAAAAUAGACAAUAAAGUAUUUUUUACUAAAAUUAAAAUGAUCACCCAAAUAAUGAUAUUUACCGUUUCAGAAGAGCUCUCAUUGCUCGCAUUUCCUCCUCCUCCUUCGUCGCUCUCCUGAAGCUUAGCCUUCUUCUUCCUCUCUUGCCUCGCUAUCAACUUGCUUAGCUUCACGUGUCUUCUCGAUCCGAACACUUUAAGCACAUCUAUAAACCAACAAGAAGUAUGAGUGUCUAUUUGUUACUAAAUCCUCAACGGCACGUUUAGUAAUUGAAUAAUAUUUGAAGCGUUUCAUGUUUUUAUUCAUAGAAUAAGUUAAUAUUCUAGAAUAGAGCGGCAUGAAAGAAAAUUUAGAUUUGGUUUUUACAUUUUAUUUUUUUAAGGAUAAUCAAAAUCAUGUUUUGUUAUUUUUUUAAAAAUUUAUGGAGAAUAAUGGACAAAGGCGCAGCGUGCAAAACCAUAUAAAAGGGUAGGUAAGAAUGGAAUAACGUAUGGCACAAAAAUAACGCGAAAGAUAAAUAGAAAAAUAGAUUUUAGAGAUGGCGAAAUAAGUCUUAACGGAUUGUUUCAGAAUAAUCUGUAAUAAACUAUUUUGACUAGAAUAAAUUAUUCUCAGCAAAAUAUUUUAUCCUUUAGUUAUUUUAUUACCAAAUGCAACCUAAGUAACUAAAGAGCGAUAUUUAAUCUUUUAUACGGUUAAUUUGUGAAAUAAAAAUUAUUCUCUGAAAACUUAAGCUAUUAAACAGCUGCUGGUACUUCGAGCAGUUACAUUCAAUGCAAAGUAAGUAAAUGUAUCUCUACUCUUGGUAACGUUGGAUGUGAACUUUUAAUCUUUAGAUACUAAAAAGAAAUUUUCUAAGCAAAUGCCAAAAGCAUGGAAACCACAAGUACUCCACCAAUUCAAUCGUCUACAUACUCUAUUACAUAGAAUUUGUAAAUAUAUAAAAAAACAACAACGAUACCAAACGAGGCGAUAGAAUAUAUACGGCAACGCUACCUUCGAAGGUGACGAGGCGGUAGACGCGGCCGAUGUGGAGGGGAUCGUCGGGGCGGAGCAGCUUCACAUGCGCCACCGGUGCAGCAGCACGGCUACCACCGUCGCCGUCGGGGGAAGCAGAGGACGACGAGUUACCAGAAGCAGAGCUACGCGGAGCAGCGACGACGACAACCGCGACGUAGUGACCAGGGUUUGCGGCCAUGACGUUGCUCGCCGCGACCGUCCAGUAGACUCUCUCGACCCUACCUCCUGGGUGUUCGAUCACCGCUGCCGCCGCCACCGCCUCCGCCGCUUGGCAAUUCCCCAUCUCUCUCUCUGUAUCUAUCUCUCAAAAUGUCUAAAUUUCUUUCUCUAUAGCUUUUGGAAACUUGUGUAUAUAUAGCAAUGGAAUUUGUGUGUUAAAUAAGGUACAAGCGCAUUUUCUUGUACCGAACAAAGGAUCUACUAUUUGACCACCACUUUAUUUACGUGUGCGAGGGUUUAAUUGGGCGCUAUUAAAGUUGUAUCGUAGUUUUUCUAUUUAAAGUUGAUAAAAAGUUGUGUUUGGUGUUGUUGUAUAGGUGGCUGGUUCAGCGCGUGGGAAAAGAAAAAUUAAGAAAUACAAGAAGUUAUUGCGUGGUCUCCGUGCACGUGUACAUUAAUUUAUUCCAUUUAAACCCUUGAAUAUAUAUAAAUUAUAAGAUGGCCAUUGAAUGCACGACCUCACAGAAAAAUUAGUUCAGAAUAUGAAAUAUAUAUUCACAUUUUUAGAAAACACGCUUAAUAUAUACACGAUGAAUGUGAAAUACACGUAAAAUUUUAAGAUCAGAUAAGAUAUGAGGAUUUAACUUGUAAUAAUAAUACGCCUGCAGGUAUAAUAUCUAAUAUAUUCUUCAAAAUUUAAAAACUAUCUUAUUUAUUUCUGGACGACCAAAAUACACUUAUUAAUUUUUAAAUUUGUUUUCAAAUACAUUUUUUUUAAGGAUUUGCUAAUGAAAUUAAAUUUUAUUAAAAAGAAUACUUUGAGUAUUGAGGGAUAAAUCUAAAAGUUUUUAUUAUAAGUGAGUGGGCGUAACUGCGUAAGCGUGGGUGUAAAUUUUUUUUUUAAUUAUUUGUUAUAUUAAGAAAUUUUGAACUUGUGGGCGCGAAAUUUAACGAGUUUCGUCUCCUUUUCCAGUGGUAGGUCAUUUUUGAAGACGUUAUUGGUUGCUUUCACUGGCCACCAUGUUUGGUAUUUAAUUUUUUUGGUAACUUCUCACCAUAUACGCUUCAAACAUGGAAUAUAAAAUAAUUAAAUUCCAUUCCAUGCCUCAAAAUGAGGCAUUUUUAUGAUUUUAUUUCCUGUCACGAGGAGAUCUACUAUUAUGAUUUAUAUAUAUUUGGAUGUAUAUAGUCACUAUUUGUUGAAAACUAGUUGAGAUUAUUCUUCAUGCGCUACUAACACAUAAGCACUUUUUUAAAAAAUUAAUUAUGCGCAGUGUAAAAUCGUGAAAAAUAAUUUUUAUAAAAAUUUUUUUUUAUGUUUUUGUAGUGUUUGAUUUGUACAAAAGAAAAGUAGUUUUUCAUCUAUAUUUAUUUGGUUGAACGAAAAAAAUUUAUGUUUGUUCGGUUUGCUGAAAAAAAUUAAAUGAAAAUAAUUUUUAGGCAGUUUGAAUUUUCGUUUUCUACUGAAAAAUAGCAAAAAAUAAAAUUUCAGCUUUUUCUCGAUUCGUAAAAAUAUUCUUACGUCGAACCAAACAAACAAAAAAGUAUUUUUUAUACCGAAAGUAAUUUUUAUGCCAAACCAAACGCCUCUUAAGUACAAAAAGUAAAAACCAAGAUUUAUAUAGAUCGACAAUUACUAAGUCUACAGAGAAAGUGAAAAAGAUAUGCUUCACUAAUAAAAUAAAAUUGAGUUUUAUGGUGAAAAUUUUUUUUCUUUUUAUUUUAUGAAAAGUCUCAGAUAAUAUUAUCUAAAUAAAACUUUUUUAUAUUUUAAUUAAAGAAUUAAAAAUAAUAAUAUAACUUGUUCUAUUUACUAAACAAAUAACCCGAGAGGAGCCACCAAACUUAAUUAAAUUAUAUCCCUGGACCCACUCCACGGGCCCACCAGGAGAAAGCCACCUCUCCGGGGCUCCAAUUCCAAAGCCUAUUGAUAAUAUAUCGCAUAAACCCGGUCUACACGGAUGGUACAUAAUUAGUAGUAUAUUACUCCUACUAUUUGACUUUAAAUUAUUCAAACUUAUCUACAUGUGCUCCACGGCCACGUUUAGCUGAGCAAUUAGAGCCCGACUUAUAUUUGCUGGUGAAUUAUAGACUAAUUAAUAAUAAUUAUCAUACAAUUAAUUUUUUAUAUUAAUCACUAAAGUUGGACUUCUUUUAUGUCUCUUCAUUUUCUCAUCACAUUAUUUUCUCUCCUUGAAACUUUUGGUCACUAAUAGGAUCAUGUAAACUAAAUUUAGACAGUGUCUAAGUUUCUUCAUUGUCACAGAAUUUGUUAUGACAUCAGUUAUAUUAUUUUUUGUAAAAAUUUACAUAAGCUGAAUUUUAUGAUCACCUUCACUAGCGAGCUCUCACAAUUUACGAUAUUUAAAAAACUAUGUGCUUCAUUCUCAUGUAGUAAACUAAAUUUCUUGCGAGAUAAAUAACAUCUCUGACUAUCACAAUUAGUGGUCAUCUUUUUCUAUACGAUCCUAAGUUAAUCAACCAAACCUCUAAAUUAGACUGCAUCCAUAACUGCUUCGAUUGUCGCCAUAUACUACAUCUCGAUAUUUAACAAAAUUACACUAUGCCGUAACGUAGACUUCCAAUUGAUAGAUCCACUGCCGAGCAAAAACACGUCAGCUGUAAUAGACCAAUGCAUGUCGGAAUCACCAAUAUAUACAGUCGGAAUUUAUAAAACCUUUUACUUCACCAUUAUCAAAAUCUGCCAAAUAGAAAUUUUGCAUAUUUGUUGUGCUCUUAAGAUACCGCGAAAUCAACUUCCAAGGACUUGUAAGCUGUAAUGGACCAAUGCCCGUCAGAAUUACCAAUAUAUAUAGUCAGAAUCUACAAUCCCUUACUUCACCAUUAUCGAAAUCUGCCAAAUAGAAAAUUUUCAUAUUCGUCCGCAAAGUUAAUGUCAAGGCGUCUUAGUGCUAUUUUUCUUGAUUUGAUAUUCGUCGGCUAUUGGAAUUAAAGGACAGCGAAAACUUACAAACUGACUAGCCAAUAUAUCUAUGAACCGAAAUCGGAUCGGAUUGCUUGUCUUACUAGCCUUCUUGGGUCGUCCUUGUCUCGAUACUUUUGCAUCUUCUAUGUACCUCAAUUUUUUCUAUACCCGUUGCGAAUCGGAUGCGAAGAGGGCUACUAGAGUGCUCUUCUAUAUUCACACUCCAAAACUCUGGAAACAUAAGUGGACAUCUUAGAGAGAAAGAAGAAAGAGAAGAAGGAAGAAAUCUCUAGUUUUUGAAUAUUUUCGUAGAAAUACACUACCUGCGAAAUGAACAAAAAAUCAGAUUUAAAGCAAAUUAUAGCAUACAACAAGCAACCGACCUUAUUAUCAUUUGAUAUCUUUGACAUAGAAUUUAUCUCUCAUCUCCGUACACUGUGCAACGUACCAAUGCGAUAACGUCCAUAACGUAUUCGGCUAAGUCCAAGAUGUACAUUAUUCAUUCUACUACUGAUAUAUGAAAUUCAUCAAGCAUAUUGUCCCUGCGCACCUGCAUGUUAGGAGUCUGUUUCCUUGUUCGAUCGUAUCCAACGCUCGUCCAUCAUACGACGAUUAGGUCCAAUUAUACAUAACACUCGAACAAUCCCCUCACCUCUAGAUGCCUCACCGUCUCGAACAAUCCCCUAACCUCUGGAUGCCUCACCUCACCGUCCUAAAUGUAUCUACUACUUGUCAAGAGUGUUAGGCUUAGUUUGGUAUCGAGGCCUAUCCAACGCUAAUCGUAACCGACUCAUCGCGAUAUACGAAAUGCAAUAUUACAUACGAAAAUAAACAGAAUAUUUUUUCAACGUAUUUUUUCACUGUAACGCAAUCUCUCCGCAAUUCCAAACGAAGCCUUAGUCAUUAAUCUCCACUCCAUAUUUUAACAAUUGGUCACAAAUUGCAAUGAUCUUAGAUAUCAAAUAACCAACUCAAACCUUAAUUGGAUCGGGAUCCCAUUGUAUAGCCCAAGACACAUCACCGAUAUCCCAACUAAGGGACAUAUAUAAUUUAAGGGCUUCCAACUAAGGUAAUCAAUUAGGGGUCAUAGGUGAAAAGUGAUGGUAUAUAUUCAACUAGAAUUCUCAGAGGUUUUCUAAGUUCAAAUCCGAUACGUACGAUCGCUCCGAAUUCUUGAAUAGCCCAGAUAUAAAGUCUUUUUAUUGUUAAAUAUUAUUAUUUUACUUAUUAAAUAAAAAAAAAUAUUUUAUUUGAGAUGUUUACUAGAUUAGAAAUAUCUUUUGAUUUAUACUAUUUUUAUUUAGAUUUCUUAAAGUGAUUGCAGGCUUAUACAUAAGAGUUUUCCCUUUAUAAAAUGGUCAACUUUUUUUUAGGAGCAUGUAACAUAUUAUCCGCUUCAUUCAUAAAGAAAAUGAACUAGCAUAGAAUAGUGAGACAAUCAAAUCUCGAAGGAGAGUGCCGAUCUAUAACUUUUUUUUCAAAAAAAAAACAUCAAAAUGGCCUUCAUUUGAAAAAUUUUCUAUAAAAAAUUGUUGCUUUUUAGUGGUCUCUCCGUUUGGUUAUAAGAAAAAUAAGUUUUUAUAAAAAAAAUUAUUUUUCAUAUUUUAUAAAAAACUAAUAUUUUUAUUUUUAAAAAAAAUUUAAAAAAAAUGAGUUUUUUAUGAAAUAUAAAAAAAUGUUUAAAAGUGGAAUUGAGCUUUUAUGCUUUUAAAAGUACAAGUUAUUGAUGCUUAUAAAUUUUUGGUCAUUGGAUUAAGGGAUGUGCAAUUAGAAUGAUGUGGGACUUUUAGGCAGCGUUUGGUUAGGGAAUAGGAAUAGGAAUAGGCCCUUAUGCCCCUUUAUACCCAAACGCUAAUUUUUUACACGAGAAUAGUAGUUCUCGGUUAUCCCCACUAACACCUUCAUUUUCUAUAUAAAACUAUCUAAAAUUGUUCUUAUUCCCGGGAACAACCCAAUUUUCAUCCAAACAUUAUUUUUCUUAUUCCCAUACUUGUACUUAUCCCUGUAAUAACUAGUUCUUGUUUAUACCCGAACCAAACGAUACCUUAGGAUAUUCAGGUUGGUUGAAUAGUAUGAUCUAGCGGGUGGAAAUGAUCAAAAGAGUAAAUCUAACGGUAAAAAUUUACAAGCAUCAAAUAUUUGGUGAUUUUACCAGCACUAUAGCCAGACUCUUUAAAAGUGAACGAGAUGGAUAAAAUUUUUUUUUAGGAAAAAUUCAAUCUUUGGACGAACCAAGCAACCCCUAAUUGCAAGUUCGCACCCAACCGAACCAUGCCCGCGCAUAGUGGUGGUCUUUUAGUCCACAACUCCAUGGGCCGCAAUUGCAUCCGAUCCAUUUCCAUCUCUAAACCCUGAAACAGCAGGCAAGCUCGUCGGGCCGCCUUCCCCAGCUCUCCUCGCCAGCCGCUCCCCCCUUUGCGUGCUAUCGGCGGCCGGCGGCAUGAACGGGAUGGCGCGGGGGCUGUCGUGGCUGGUCCGGCAGCGGGCGGAAGCCGUGCAGCAGCAGCAGCAGCAGUGGCAGCAGGCGCGGGGGAUUCGGGUGCAGGUGCGGAACGACAACCUGGAGCAGGCGCUGACGGUGAUGGAGCGGAAGAUGCGGGCCAGCGGCAUGGAGCGCCUCAUCCGCCGCCAGGUCGACCACCACCUCAAGAACUCCGAGAAGCGCGUCCUCGCCCGCAAGAACCUCAUGCUCCGCGUCCGAUCCCAGGACCUCGCCCGCAAGCUCCGCACCAUCCUCCUCAAGAAGAUCAGGUCCCCACGACUUUCUUUUUAAGAAGAAACAUCGAAAUUUUUGAUUCUACGAUCUUUGAGUGCUCUUUCUAGUUUAGAAUUUGUACGCACUGCUUAGUUUAGCAGGCUUGAUUUGAGUAUCUUAUAUGAUUCACGGCAAUUGUAUGACUGAAUUUAAAGUAAUUGAAAGAUUUGAGAAGUCGUAGCUGCUUCUGUCUCUUUCGAUGGUGCGAUGAGUCGAGAUGUGCUUUAUAAUUCGAUUUGCGGCGGCGCAGAAUUCGCUAUUGAUGAGCCAUUUUGUUACCAUAGAGGCCUGAGGACUACGUCUUUUGAGUCUAGCGUAUGCAUCGGUUAGGAGGCCAGUAACUAGGAUCAUCUCUUUCCGAUCAGCAAUGCUGCAUCUUGUUUGCUUUUUGGUUCUUAGAGGGUUUCGUCAUAGUUGGGUUCUUGUGUUGCAAUCCUCUCUUACUAGCAAACAAUGUGGAGAUUGUUCUCUAUUCCGGCUUGGAGGAAUAUAUGGGAUCCGUAACUUUUAAUUCUUAUGUCGGUGCCAGGUUUCCAUUUGUCAUUGCCUCCUAAGAACUUGUGUCACUAGUUAGGAUUAGUCAGACUAACUUCUUUGCCAAACGGCAUUGCUUACGAGGAGUAGAUGUUGGAGUUGUUUUACUUGGAAGAAAGGCUGACAAUUCUGGCUUUCUUGGAGUUAACUUCUUCAACAACGAAUAAUGACGCUAACAGAAUGCAAUAAGAAAACGUAAUAAUAUUGAAGUUGGUUGGUGGUUUUAUCCCUAUCAACCAACUCGAGAUUAUACUAAGUCGCUAACUGAUAGGGGCUGUUUACUCCAGUUUAUAUUAGCGGAUGGUAAGGUAUUCUGCUGAUAUGAGGUGUAUUAGAAUUCUGUUUCUUUAUUCUGAUUCUCCCAGAUUUCAACUAAAACAUAUGAAUAGAUGGUUAUCUUCUUACCGCAAUAUCUCUUUGUGUUACUACACUUAAUUUCUGGUCUGUGAAGCAUUCAAUUGGUUAUCUUCUUAAAUCCACGCAUUUAGUUAGGACCUCUCUCUUAUUUGCAAUUAAACUGAUUUAUAUCAUUCAUUGGCCGUAAUGCAGGGGUCAGUGAGAACAGUUCCUCUACUGAGAGUAAUGUUGGAGGGAAGCACUUUACGGCACUAGCGAAAAAGGGUAUUUCUUUUCCUUUCUUGUCUAAGCGUGCUGAUGCUUAAUUUGAUAAAUCCCUGUUUAAAGAAUACACUAAGAAUCUUAGGAAAAUGUUACUGAUAAGAUGUUCUUGAAUAUAUUCAGCAUGAUUUUCUUUGGGGACCUUUUGCUGCAUUUCGCAUUGCUUAUAGUUUUGGUUUUUUGUUUUUGCUUAUUUCUAUGUUGUUGCAUGAACCUGUAAAAAGACCACUUUAUAUUUGGACCUCUUCACAUGUUAGAUAAUGGAAUAUAAAAAAGAAAAGCUAAUAUGCUUUGUGCUUUAUUGUGAAUAUAAUAGGGUUUGCAAGUCGUGUUGCGAAAGCAAAAUUAAAGGAGAUCUUGCAAAGUACAUACAGCCUCGAAAAAAGAAUUGUGAAUAAAAGUCAAAGGGAAAAGUAUAAUGCCAAACACUUAAACUUGCACUUAAUUUUUGACUAAAAUAAAAUAUAUGAUUAAUAGAUCAUUUUAUUCUACCACUUAGCCCUUCUUUCUGUUAGCAUGGUAAGUUAACAGAGAGGGAAAAAAGUGUAAAACCAAUAUAUUAACCCCAAAAUUUUUAGGAAAUGCUUUUGCAUAAGCCACUUUAUCUAAGGGCAAGUUUUAUCUGUUUAUUUUCUUUGAAAGUAGAGCCUAAAAGGAAAUUUGAGAAAAAGGUGAGAUGAACACAAGCCUUUUGAUCUAACAAUAAAAAACCAUAAAAAUGAGCCGUACUUGACAAGCUAUUUCAUCUAACCAACCAUUAAGAUAAACCAAAAGACGGUUGUAUUCAAAUUCAGUAUCUGCAUAGACAAGGUACAUAUAAUUCUACUAAAUCCAAGAAAAACGUAAAACCCUUUUUAAGAGAACUUGGAUCAUCCUCAUUUAGAAACAUGUAUAUUAUUGUAGACAAGCAACAAAUCAAUAACUCUUAAUUAAAAAGGUCAUGCCACAUGGGUAAUUCAUCUUGCCAAAUGUUUUGGAAUCGAGAGCUAUACAGAAAAUGUUCCAAUUAAUCAUCUUCUUUCGUCCUCGUGUUUGUCGUAGUUCUUCAUAACAAUACUACGUAUCUGCAACUAAAGUGAAGGAAAAUAUUUGCUUAGGCCAUAAGGGAGGGAGUAAAAUUCUUCGCUUCUCGUGUCGGUGCUGUAAUAUCUAAAUUUCUCCCACCAAUGCCAACCGCUAUCUCUUCUAACCGAAGGUUCCCAAUAAAGGUGAGUCCAAUCCAGUAAAUAAGCAAUUAUAGCCGCGACUGUUGCAGGCGACGAGAAUAUCACAUUAACAACAUCAUUGAACUGCAACAAACAAAGGAUUAGAAGUUAAUAAAAAAGUAUUACUGAUGAAUAUUGAGAUAUUGGGGCAUGAUAAGAAAAAUACAUACCGAUCUCGAACGGGUAUGCACGGGGCCAAAACCGGCUUCAGUUUCAUACUCCCUAAAAUAUUGUGGGAUCGACAAGCCCAAGAACAAAGAAAUGCCGAUAAUAAACUUAUUCCUUAGACUAUUAAGAUUGCAGAACUGAAGGAGGCCAAUUCCUGCAGAAGCUGCAUAAAUAUACAAUGAAAGAAGUAAUCAGAGCCAAUAGAGUGAAAGAUUCAGGAAACUAUAGGACAAUUUGAACCUAGAUGCUUUCCAUACUUCCUAAUUUAAAACAACUACAGUAUCUGAUAUCAAAUAUCGAUACCUAUAAAUAUCACCUAAGGCAAGUUUGGUUCGAGUUAUAUAACAUUACAGAUUAUUUAGACAUAACCAGGUAUCAGAUAUUUCUGAAUCAAAUACUACUUAUGCUGCAUUACCGUAUUUGGUUUAAUAUAGUAAUAUAAUGCUGGAUUAUAGUAUAUAUAGAAUUAUUAUGUUUGGUUCAAUUUAUAAAAUUCAGUAAUCCCGACAGUAAAGUGUAGUGGGGAAGGGUUCGUGCGAAUAGAAAUAGGGAAAGAGAAGAGGAGAAAGAGAGAGAGAAAAAAUGAUGUAAUAAAAUUGUAAUUUUAUAGAACAUGCAAGAUUAUCUGCCAUUAAUAAUACGAGAUACCCUCCUUUAUUCUGUAAUACUACAUUACUUACAGACGGGAUGAACCAAAUGCAAUUAUCCUAGCAGGAUUAUCUGUAAUUUUGGCAUGGUAACCCGAACCAAACGCGCCCUAGAGUAUUUCAGGCUUCUAUUAUUAAUAUAAUACCAUUUAUUCGAAAAACAGUGCAGAACCAUUACCAAAAUGGACAAUAGCAUUUCUUGUUUGAGAAUGAGAAUGAUCUUGAUCUAGACAAGUAAAAAUAUGUCUAACAAAAGAAAACUAAAUAGGCUGAAUGAAAUUUUUGGGACUGUUCUAUGUGCUAAGGUCUUCAGAGUGGCUUAUCAUGUGUUUUAGAACUCAUUAAGGUUCGGCGAAACAAACAAAAUACAUAUCCAAGAAUAUCAAAGGUCGAAGCUAUGGUAAUUGAACAAGUUAAUAUGAUAAAUGAUAGAAAUAUGGUGAUUAAACAAAUAAAAGAUUUAAACAAAGAAUAUACCAGCAUAGGCAAAGAGGACGCAGUAGAGUGCGGCAACAAGCGGAAAUGGGAUAGAGGCAAGAACUGCCCCAAAUUUUGCUGUGAUAUUUUGAGAACUGUAUCAGAUUAUCAUGAAAUAUGCAAGAGAUAUCAAUACAAAAUAUUGUAUGUAUAGAAUAUCACCGAAAACUGAGAAGAAGAUCAUAAAACAGGCCGAAAUUUUAAUAACACGUCGACUUCCGACUCGUGUCAAAGCCAAUAAACCUGCAUUCUCACUGUUUAUAAAUUCACCAGUAAGAUAUCUUAAAUUUUAUCGUUAAGUUCAUAUUCUUUUUCACUUUGAGUAUUAUAGAAAGCAGAUUGUUUACACUGAUGCUGCUGAGCCAUUUGCAGUACCAAAAAUACCAUCCAACAAAAUAGCUAUUCCCUGAAAUUGUUGAAGUUAUAUGAGGCAAGAACUUCAUAAUAUAUAAAAAGUAACAGCAUAAGAUCGCUAACUGAUAAAUACCUGCCACCCGACUCCGCGGCUGCAAACGGAAGGUGGUAUAAAUGUCGCACUUGCGAAUCUCGAUGCAAUAAUAAAAGUGCCCGUCGACUGCAAAACAACAUAUAUACUUAAAAGAAAAGGAAAAAAAAAAAUCUAAUUCUUAAGACUUAAGAACAAAACAUAUCCAGAUUAUAGCAUAUGUAGGAGUCUAGGUUGAGAUGAGAGGUGGGGAUAUAUAAGGGGUAUUGAAUAGGGUUCAGCACUGUAGGUUCCAAACUGGAUCACUGAACUGAACAGAUUCAUUUCAGUAAUUCGAUUUGGUUUAAUCUUAUGGAUUGAGAACAUAAAAGAACAUGUUUAACUAACUUUUAUGAUGCUUAUCCAGGUUGUGGGCAUAAACACAGUGACGCUUUUUUCUGCAAACUGAAACUUGAAGGUUAUCUGUCGCAGAUAAAACUUGACAAUAGCCAAAAUCCUAAAGCUGUUGCAAUUAGUCUUGAAACCAACAUCUUAGAUUGUAUAUUAAACCAUUAGAUAUUUGAAUUUUUUUUCCUUAUAAUUUGUCGAUGAUUUUUAUUCAUAUAUUCUGUGAUCUCAGAUGUUCAGAGAAUAAGUUCCUAUUGAAUCAACAAGCUCAAACUACAAAUGGAUGAUUAAGAUACCAACUAAUAAAAGAACAAACAUACCAAACAACAAUGAGGAAAACACGGGCAACGAAAGCUGAUUACUAAACAUCUCAUAAUAAUUCUUAGCAAACUAUGCAAUUAAAGACAUGAUUUCAUAGAAGUAACAUUUGCUGACAUGAAGUCAACUGAAAAGAAAAAGAGCCAACACUCAACAUAUACAUUGCAUAAGGUUCUGAAGGAUCUGAUACAGUAAUAAGCAAGUGAAACUAACAAGAUCUUUCUACAUCAGUACCUCGAUAAGUGAUGCGAACGAAGCGGCCAUCAUGGCGAAAACAUCUCCCGCAUGAAAACGGGGACCUCCCCAUUGAAAUGGAUAAGGAACUCUAACCCUGCAACAAUUCGUCGAUGAAAUCUUAAUCCAAAAGAAGCAUCUCAAUAAGAAGUUAAAGCCAACGUUGAGAGUCUAUUAGUUGAUAUGACUAAUGAACAUGCAUAAGGACAUUCCUACUGAUAAGGUACAUUAGUUCCAUUUAGCAUUGAGUAGUUGCAGUGAAAUACCAAGGAGAGGCGUAAAUAAGUCCGGCGCGAUCGACACGGCAACUAAAUUGGGUCUCUGGAGGCCUAUCUCUGUACGCACCAGCAACCGUCAGAAUAAACGCGUAGAGCCACACGAUAGCCACGACGAUUAACAAGGCGAAUCGAUCGAAGAUCACUCUUCUUCUUGUAUAUGAAUGUGGAACAUACUGCACAAAAAUGAAAUUACUAGUCAAAAAAGAAAUGCUACAAAUACCCAAUUAUAGAAGUUAUAAAUAAGGUGGCUUCUGAGUUAAGUUGUCUGAGUAGAGUUUACCAGAGAGAAUAUGACUAGAAGAACAAGUGCUGGUAGCCCAAUUUCUACACAUUUAGCCAGCUGCAGGAAAAAGGAACAAGCACAAUAAAGCAAUUAAUAAUAAAAAAAAUUGACAAUGAUCUAAUGAUGUGUUUGGCUUGCUUCUGCUUCUGCUCUCAGCUCUCUUCAGCAGCAAAAUGGAGUUUCUAAAUCUCGAAAAGAAUUUUUACUUAGAUAGUACUUUAUAAAAUUACACUGUAUUAUAGUAAUCGUAAUUACUUACUUCAGGGAAUGCAAUAUAGUAAAGUCCAAGAGCUGAUAAGGUCACAAAGGGAACUGCGGCGAGGGGGCUAAGAAACCUAUUCAAUUCAAAAAAAAAAAAGAAGAAAAAUUAGAAAUGCAUUUUUGGAAAUAAAGUAAUGCAAAAAUCCAAUUGCAAAUAAUGAAAAAGGGAAAUUAAGAAAGAAAAGAGAAACACAACAACCUAACAAAAAUUCUCCAGAGGCCAAAGUACCCAACAACUAUCUGAAAAACGGAGGAUAAAAUAAGAGCCCCUUGUAUGGAUCUCAUGGUGAGCACAAACCUCUGUUAAUUCACCCAAAAAAUAGCCAAAAAAAUAAUAAUAAUCAAUCCCACGAACUCCGAAAGGAGAAAAAGAUAGUAACUCUUUUUGUCGGACAUACAGAAUUAGAUUGAAUAGAAUAAGACGAAAAAGUUGAAACACAAUCAUUCUUUUUCAAACCCCGUCCUCGAAACUCGGCCCCGAUGCUUUGAGAUCCGUGCGGAGGGGGGAUCGGUAGAUGCGGGACGGGUCCUGGCGCCAGUUUGGCCCGGGACCCGUUUCGGCCGGUUUUCUUACGGGCUCGUGUUUAACUUCCUAUCCUAUCCAAUUCAAUUCUGGAUGCGCGAACAGAACAGUUUGGUUCGCGGAGCAGUAAAAACAUAAUCUGGGGUUCAAAGCGCGGGCAGAACAAAGAAGACCUCAUAAGGGUCGAUUAUGUAGGCGUAGCGUCUGCUGAGUAUGAUGGAGAUGGUGGGGAGGAGGUAAGUGUAGGAGCCCCCGAUCACAACGGGGAGCCGCGUCCCGAAGUGAACCUGCAACAGAGUGUUGAUCCCAGCCACGAAGAGCAGCGUCUGAAUCACCCUCGCCUUCUCCUCCUACACACACCAUCAACAUUACAAAAACAAUACAUUAAAAACAUUGGCAAGGGUGAGAACCGGUAGUGUUUAGAUGUCUCACGUUUUAAUGCAGCAUAAGUGGAAAAUGAGAUUCUGAUCACCUUAUAGCAACAUCCUUACUCUAGUACUUUAUAUUGAUUUGAAAAAUACCAUAUUAUUCAAAAAAUUGAUCUGAUAAACAAUAAUUUAGAAAGGGGUCUAAGACGAAGAAGAGAUCGCUCACAUGUCUGCCGCCCAUUAGGGGGACUAGAAUGGUGGGUAUGAUAACUGUAGUGCCCAGCAUCACCAAGUAGUGUUGGAAGCCCAGAAGCAUAGCUUCCGCUGAAAAAUUCAAAAAAAAAGAUUAAAAAAAAUACAAAAACACAAGUGCAUUAGCCGUGAGAAUGUACCUAAAAAGAUCGAUUUAAUAUAAAACAGUUGAAAAAAAAAAUGUAGUUAUAGUAUAUCAUGUUCACGUGCAUAUUAUAUAUUGUGCAUACGGAAAAAAUAUGAUAGAAAAUGAUUCAGAAAUAACCCCAUGGCGGAGGGCUAGUGAGGCAGUAGUCGAUCCCCGGCAACUGCUCCUUCACGGCGAACGGCACGAGCUCCUCCGCCUUCGGCCCCGGCGACAUCUCUCUCUCUCUCUCUCUCUCUCGUGUUGUGAGGGGAGAGGAUGUGUUUAGAGAGAAAGAUAGAGAGGGGGGGAGUGAUAUAAAGGAGGGAGUGUGAGAGGGGAGAGGAAACGCACGAACGCGCGCUUUUGGUUUUGCGUUGUAGUUGGUGUCGUUCGGCCUCCCCCGGAAAACCUUCGGUACAAAUGUACGGAGACCCCUCAACUAUAUGUUCUUUUGAAAUAUCCCCCUCUUAUUUUAUUUUAUUUUAUUUUUUUAAUUGAGACUUUCGCAACUUCUUAACUCUUUCUUUUUUUUUUUUUUUAUUAUACGAGUUGCCAGUAUCGUGCAUAAUGUAUACCGGUUAUUAUUCGUUAAUUGAUCUGAUUUUUAUUUACAAAAAAAAAAUUAAAGUUAUUAGAUUCGAUAAAAUUUUUUUUUGCAUAAUUUUAAAAUAAAUUUGAGAGAGAAAAAUAGCAUGCUAUCCGACUUUCUUAUUUUUUUAAGAAAUAAACUAAUAUGAAAACGUGAAACAAUUAAGUUUCGAAUCUGGAUCUCGGGUACCAAUCACCAAAUUCUUUACUGUUUGCACUAGAGGUGGUCGGUUUUCAAAGAUAAAAGUUGACGGGUUGUUUCAAAAUGGCAUAUAGUUGAGGGGGUCCUUGUACAUUUUUACCUAUUUAAAACUAUGUCCAUUGAAAAAAUAAGAAGAUAAUUAGAUAAUUGUGAUUGGACCUCCUCAGUUAUUGGCUAUACCGGUGUGGGCUCCUCAACUUAAUAAUUUCUUUUUUGAAUUAUUCUAGUGUGCUAAGUUAAAAUUAUUAUUAUCUAUAACUUAUUAAUAAUUUUAAUAUUAUUUUCUAUAAAUCAAUUAAACAAUCAAACUAAAUAAAUUUACAAAAUAAGUUAGAUGAAUUUUUUAAAUUAAACCAAGUAAAAUCACUCAAUCUCCAAAAAAAAAAAAAAAACUCAAAAAAUUCAAACAAUGCCAAUAGUAAAACUAAAUUUGAAGGGGCUAUUUCAGAGAACUCUGUAGUGAAGGGGGUCUCGGUACAAUUUUAUCUAAAUUAAAUUGAUAAGGAUAAAAUAUGCAAAUAUAGUAAGUUCAUAUAAAAGUCUCCCUAACAUUUUAUAUGGUCUAAUUUUCCAAAUUUCAAAUAGUGCGUGACAUUAAUGACAUGAGAGUGCAUUUGUCUUAGCAUCUAUGUCUUGGUGUUUAGAUAUGGAAAAGUGGAAUACUCAAAAAGAAAAAAAAAAUUUAAAAUACAUAAAAUUCUUAUAUAAAUAUUCUUUUUUAAAAAAAAUUUUAUGACUUUAAAAAUCUAUGUCUUAUCUCUUCAAAAAUUUAAGUCAAUACAUUUAGACUCCCUCCCUCAGGAUUUCAACACUAUUUCAUCUGUUUUUUUAUAAUUUAUAUCAAAAAUAUCUUUAAAAAUAACAUAAAUAUAUGAAAAAAUAAUUUUUUUAUAAAAUAAGGAAGAACAAUUUGAUUAUUUCGCCUUCUUCAUUGACACGGUAAUUUUCUGAAAAUACUUUUAGACAAAAUAUAGGGAAAAAAAUAGUAAAAAAUAGAUAUUUAUAAUUUUUUUUUUUUUAUAUUUUAGUCAAAAGAAUGAAAGAAAAAGUGUAGAAAAAGUAGAGACUAGACAUGAGUCUGUUUUAUUAGAUGAGAGUUGGUUAGCUAGAAAUUGAAGGAUAGGCACACCCAACUCUACUUACCUGAUCUUUUUAAGUUCAUGUGUGAUGUGGACAUGUUACACUCACAAGUCACAAGAGGGUUUUAGUUUGUAGCUUUCAUGAGCCCCAGAUUUGGUGAAAUUGUUGCCUGGACCUCGUGCACCAUGCACCAGUAUUCCCCAAGUUCUAAUGUGGAAGCUUAAAAUUAUUGGAUGUGAUAUGCAACACCUAUAAAAGAUUUCGAUACUAGAAUAUUUUAUAUUAUUUUGAAAGCUUUUUUUUAUGAUGUGAACUAUGCUAGCUCUGUUAAUAUCGUUAAAAGUUUUGAGACUACUUGUUAAGCUAUUAAUACCAUAAAUAGUAGGGCGAGAAAUCUAUGAGUCGCGGGUUUGAAUUUUAAGUAUGUUUUGGGUAGAAAUAUAGGUGGCCAAGCUGGGGAAGCAAAUGAAUCCAAAUUGAUGGAGCAUUCGUCCCAAUCCACCCCGAAUAGGACGGUAAGUGGUAACAAUAAUAUAGAAAAUUACAACCUGACCAAAAUCUGUCCCAAUCCGCUAAAUAAAUAAAGAGGGAGGUUGGAGACUCUUUUUUUUCUUUUUCUUUUCUUUUUUUUUUUUCUGAUCCGUCUUGAUCCGUUCAGAAUCGAUCAAAAAUUCGCUCCCGUCCUGAUCUGCUCCACAUAAAGCGAAAAGUAGAAGUCAAAAAUAGUAUAAAAAUUAACAUGCUCUGAAUCCGUCAUGACAAAACAUGUAAUGGGGUUAGAGGAGAGGGACUCCUUCCAUUCCAAGAUCUGUCCCAUUUGUAUUUCUAAACUAAGCUGCGUUUAUGCUUUUAAAAGUACUAAGUCAUUGGUGUUUGUAGGUUUUCAAUUCUUAGAUUAAGGGAUGUGUGGUUAGGAUGAUGUGGACUCUCUAGGGUUGAGUGAGUGGUUGGUUGAAUAGUAUAAUCUAACGGGUAAAAAUAAUCAAAGACGUAGAUCUACCGGUAAAAAAUUUAUAAUCACCAAGUGCUUGGUGCUUUUACAAGCACCAUAGCCGGACUCCAUAUGUGUGUGUGUGUGUGGCGCGCACGCCCGUGCGUGUGCGUGUGCGUGUUCGUGUGCGUGUGUGUAGGAGGGAGGGAGAGAAAAAGAGAUUAAUAGAGAUUAAUUUGAGACUAUUUCGUGUAUAGAUAAAAAAAAAAAAAAUUCAAGAUUUCUAUUAUUCUAACGUGAAGCAUUUAGAGAUUAUGGAUCUUAUUCAAUUUUUAGUAGGAGAAUUUGAGGCCUCUAUAGUAAAAAUUAAGGAAAACUUUAAAUACCCUCCUUGUGGGUUCACUUUUUCUCACUUUAGUAUCCUGUGGUUUAAAGUGUAUCAAGCUAGUACCCUGUGGCAUGUGGUUUAAAGUUUAUCAAGUUCGUAUCCUAUGGUUUCUCACUUUCUCACUUUAGUACCCUGUAGUUUAAUAUUUUAUUAAGAGAAAAAUAAAAUCAUAGAAUACUAACUUGAUACAAAAAUAAAACCACAGGAUACUAAUUUGAUAUAAAAAUAAAAUCACAGAGUACUAACUUGAUACACUUUAAACCACAGAGUACUAAAGUGAGAAAGUGUGAAACCGCAGGGUACUAACUUGAUACACUUUAAAUCACAGGGUAUUAAAAUGAAAAAGUGCGAAACCACAUAGAGGGUUUUUUGAAGUUUUCCCUAAAAAUUAUAAGCUGUAGUUCUUAGCAAAGAUGGUGGAUCAGGUCCAGCCAAUAAUUCUUGACAUGAUUAGGUCAAAUGGUCGAGUCUUGACCCUCGCACGUGCGACUCUUUCUUUUCUCGGAAUGUCGUGAUCAUACACCAACUUCAGCACCAAUUGGUUAGGAAGUUCCUUCUCUCACCCUUUGGCCUAGAUAUUUUAAAAAUAAUUUUUACAUAAUUAAUUUUAAUUUAAAAAUAUAAUUUUUAUUAAAAAUUAUAGAGCGUUUGUCAAAAUCUGAUAGAAAACUCAUUUUAAAAAUCUGUAUGGUAAAUUUAUAUAAUUUUUUUGCUAUCUUAGUGAUUAUUCAAUAUGGAUUGAUUCAUACAUUAAUUUCUGAUAUAGACGUCUCAAAUUACGAUCCUUAUAAUCAAGUUUUCAAUGUAUACCCAAGAUAUUGCCUCCCUCCAUAGUUCAACGUAUUUUCACAAGGAUCUGCUUAAUAAGGUAUUGAGAUGUAUUAGCAUACAUAAUAUAAAGUUUUUUUUUAAUAGCUCAUUACACAAAUGUACGAGAAGGAUUGUAGAAAUUAUCAAUACAUCAAGGCUAACAUCUUAGCUUUUUUCUUCUAGACUAGAAGUACAAAAUCUUGUAUGUUUGAAUGUAUAAAUCCACAUAGAUAUGCUAGAAAAUUACGUAGAUACUUAAAUGCUUAAUUGUUCAUACAGGUACAGGGACAAAUAGAUCAUCUCUCAUUAUAUAUUCAUGGAGCUACAACCCACCAUUUCCCGUACGAAUAAUGCCACAGUAAACCAACCGUCUUUAGAGCAAGUGGCAAAGGGCUUGGUGGUUGGUACCCGAGACCCAAGUUCGAAUCCUAGUUGAUUUAUAUUUCUAGCUAAGUUUAUUUCUAAAUGAAAUAAACGAAGCAGGUAGCGUGCUACCUAUAUCUCAAAUAAUAAUAAUAAUAAUAAUGCCACAGUAAAUAAAAUGCAUGGUAACUAAAGUGACUGGGGCUUUCCAAUGCAAUAUGGAGUCCAGUAUCUGGUGAUCUGCAUUAGUCUUUUAGUAGUGUAGUUUCCAUCAUUCAGAUUUUGCUCGAUCUCAUCUACUCCUACUAAGAGUGUGCAUGCAACAUGAAUCUUUGCAUAGGUGGGUCCAUUGUGUCUGACUAUAUGUUGUAAUUGAAUGACCAGAAAAACAGAAAAAUUGAAAAAAAAAAAAUAGUAAUCUGUAAUGGACAUAACAUAAUUUUCAUCUUGUAAAUUUCCUAUCGCAUCCAUAAUAAGUUGGGGUUAUUUUCAUUCCAAAUUUUAGUGUCAACAAAAUCACUAGAACUCCGCUGGUAAGGCAUGGGACAGGGCUUGGGAAGGUAUUGUGCUCCACUCCUCGUUAGAAAGAUCUUAGAGAGUUCUGAUUGAUCACAAGCACUAACAAACUAUUUAGUGAAGCUUUAUUUUAACCGUACAUUUCACUUAAAAGAAAAUAUCUGACUAACUGGAUCGUGAAUUUAGUAUAAUUACUAAAGCGAUAACAGAAUGAUAACGUGAGAUGUACAGUUUGUGAAACAACCAUUGUACUCUAAAAGUUUAACCUAUUAGAGAACGAUGUUUAAACAUUUUUAUAUUUAACACUCUCCCUCACGUCUGGACUCGAAACUUUUUUUAAUCGGCCCAUGACGUGGGCUUGAAUUAAAUGGAAGAAAAUUAAUAUGCUAGGAGUUUGGCGUGACUCGAACUCAGGAUCUCCUGCUCUGAUACCAUGUGAAACAACCGUUGUACUCUAAAAACUUAAGUUAUUAGAGAACGGUGUUUAAACAUUUUUAUAUUUAACACAGUUACAAUGAAGCCUUUAUGGAGUAGUUUUUUAGUGCAAUCUAAAUCUGACCCAAACUCGACUCUCGUGUAGGGAUGUUGGCUAUCGAACAAUCUCCACACCGUUGAUUAAAUUAAUUGCACAUUUUAAGCUAAUGUUAACAAACUUCAAUAUAAUUUUCUUAUUGAGAUUGUAGUAGGUUGAGAAAAAAGAAACCAGUUAAGAACAAUUCAUGAGAAAUAAAGAAUAAUUUAAAUCCAAGUUAGCAAAUAUCUAUUUUCCUGGUAGAAGUUGAGAAAGUAAUGCCCACAUCAGGGAUAGUCCUGCUGAGCUGUUUGAGCAGUACUUGACCUGUCUAGAUCUUCUGAUAUCACUGUUGGAGAAUAAAAAUUGUGGUAUAGUACUUGUAUAUCUAUUAAUUAAGGGCAUUUACUUUGAUAGUGAAGGAGAAUCAAAUUAAUUAUCCCCACUUCACAGCAAGGAAAAUGCUGUAUAUGCACCCUUUAUAGAAGAAAAUUUUUUAAAAUGUUUUGGUCACAUAUGCUAUGUGGCAUGGCCCAAUCAAUCACAAUUGAUCUCUAUGAUUUACCCAUCCCAUCAUAAUUUAUAAAAAAUUAUUUUUAUUGUACUUUUCUCUCAAAUAGAGACAUUGAUUAGCUGCACAUUUUUUAUGUGGUAUGACUGCUACACAGAAGACUUUUUUCUUAUAGAAAAUGUACAUUUUGCACUCUUGAUUUAAGAGUUGAUAAACCUUUUUAGAGUCUUAGUUUUUUUUAAAAAAAAUUUAAUUAGACAAUUGUAUUGACAAGGGUCACAAGUUGCCUAGGGUAUAAAAUUUACAUGUUAUAAGUAGGGUGUAUAGGUAGUAUUGCUCCUAUAGCCAUUAAAUUUUAAUUUAUCAUAAUCUCUAACUCUCACUUUCUUAAUUGUUACUCCAAUUUAGUUGAUUUGAUACUAAUAUUUUGCCAAUACAGCAGUGAUGUGGCAUUUUAGUAAUUGUAACUUUAUCGAUUGCCCCAGUUCCACAUUAACGAUUCAUCACUGUUUAACCAACUAAAUUAGACUAUAGGACUUGUUUAUAGAAAUUUAAAAAGUUCGAGCAAGAAAGUAUAAUAAAUUAAAGUUUAAAAACCAAAAGUGUCACACAUCAGUCUGAGUACCAAAAGUGCAAUUUAGGCUUAUUUUAUCAGUAAUAUAUCUAGUUUAUAAGAGCAUAAAAGUGAUUCCAAAAGUAAUACCACAUAACCAUUAAUCUUUUUCAAUAUUUAACACGGGUCGCAAAACAAAGUUACAACCUCAAUUAAUAGUGGACUAACUAAAAGUCAAAUCCACGCUUUCCACCUCUCAUGAGUCACAGGUUAUUAUUGGAUAAUUUAUUCUAAAAUAGGAUCCAAGUAAAUUUACUUAUUUCCACAUAAAUGAAUACAUAAUCAAUCUUUUUUUUUUUUGAGAGAGAAACGUAGCAUACUAUUUGCUUCGUUUUGCUUCUUUUUUUUUUUUUGAAAAUAAACUUAGCUGAAAAUGUGAAGCAAUUAAGUUUCAAACUUAGGAUCUCGAAUAUUAACCAUCAAAUCUUUUGCCACUUGCGCUAGGGAUGUUUGGUAUCAACCUAUAAUUUUUAAUAGAUCCAGGUUCAAUUAAUAUGACAACUUAGUGCAAAAUAUGAGUCUAUUGCCUACUUACUAGUAAUUACUAAGUAGAGAGGGAGAGAGAGAGAGAGAGAGAGAAAAGGGAAAAGCUUUGGAUAGGAUAAAGUUAGGUGAGAGUAGAAGAGAGCUUUUGAAAAAGCUUCAACAGGAAUCUUAGAAGAGGUAGUUGAUGUAAGUUGCAGCAACCAUGAGAAUGUAAUAACCAAUUAAUGGAAAAGUAAAGGUGGAUUGGUUAUUAUGGAAGGCACAACUCAUCUACUUGUGUCCAAAAUGUGGGUUAGUGUUUUUUAUGGAUUGGAAGAUUGGUUGUUGGGAGAAUUAGGUGAUCUUUUAAGUCAUUGGACAACAGAAUUUUUUUAUUUAUAUUUGGUAAUGGUAGUAUCAGAGUUAAUUUGGUGUUUUUCACAGAAAAUAAAGUUUGAAGAUAUCUAUACACCAUUGUGUAAGUUAUACUAAAAGACAUUUGAGAUGCAUUUCGUCAUAGAUGAGCAAUAAUAUGCACUCAAUGUGCUCCGUGUGCAUGCUUAAUGUGCACACUAAAACUCUUUAUUGCUGAAAUGAAAAGAAUUACAAUAAUUGCUAGGGAGCCACAAAUAAUUCGGUUUGGAUUUUUCGCCGGGACUUGAGCUUCUAACGAAUACUACGUUCAGCAGCUUGGUUUGGACCGAACUUAGAACUGCUAAAAAUAGUCACCUUUUUCGCUCGAAUUAGAGUGCACCGAAUAUUUGAGAUUUCGACUAAACAUUGAAAGGCUCUAGUGAAGAAAUAAUAGCUAUUGCUAAAAAUUCUUGAACUACUUACUAACUAAAGCAACCGAAAACUAAAACGAUCGAAUUGGAUUUUUAAAAAUAUUUGAAAAAUGGUCAUUUCAUUCAUCUCACUCGAGAUAUUUAUAUUCCCUCCAAUCCGACUCCCAGACCACGAAAAUCUUAGCAAAAUUUCGUAAUCUCUUAUUGUAGUUAUCUCUUUUCAAAUUGUAUUCUCUUUCUUUCUAUGCAAGGAAGAGUUUUUUAAAAUGCUAAAUAGUGUGGAGUUUCUAACAUAAUGUUGUUCAAAUCACAUUCAUUCGUCUUCUUCUUUUUCUUUUUCUUUUUUUUUUUUUUUUACUUGUGUUGAAAUUUUUGUUACCUUAUUAAGUAUUUUGAAGGGAAAGAAAAACUAAAAGUUUUAGCUAUAAAUAGAAAAACUGGAAAAAGGAAUAUAGCUUCUCAACACAUGAUAUCUAAUUUUCACUACUACACAGGCAUGAGCAGUUCUAAGAUUGUGAACUCGAACGCUAGGCCCAAAUAUUUAGCCCAAAUAUUAAAGCCAAUUGGCCCACAAAAGGCCGUCGAUUCAGCUCAACAUGCACUAAAAUGGGCAUUGUAAAGAAUGAAACUUAGGGCGCGAUUGUUUCGAAGUAAGCGGGAGCCAGAUUUUUGAUCAAAUGGGAUUGCAUCACGGCUGUGAUACAUACCAGACGUGUUGAGACGUUUCGGACUCAUGUAUAGUCAGAGGUGGUGACUUCGUCUCUCUUCCUCGCAAUGUCACGAUCUGAUCAACCAAACAAUGAAGAUGAUGCGAGGAUGCAAAUGGGUCGGACCAACAGAUAUUAACCAGCAAAUCCUUUAUUACUUGCGCCAAGGGCUGUUGGUCUGCCUAGUAUAGUUAUAAACUUUAAAAAAUUGACAUAGAAAAGAUCGAAGACUAAAACUAGGGUUCUGUCGGGACGAAGCCCAAUCAGCCCGUUUUUUGUGCUUGCAUAUCGAAAUUUUCGUCUAGUCGAAUAAUUUCCAACCCUAUCGGGCUCAUCGAGUCCAAUCCAGGCCACCGAUUUUGCCAGGGCCAUGUAUCGUCCUUGGGCCUUACCCUGUGUCCUAAUAACUUACCAUGUUUUGUAGAUAUUUUCUUAUGCAGUUGCAAUUUACUGGUAUGCUUUUAGCCAUUUCAAGUUCCUGACAACUGAGACUGACUGUCCCUAGAGCAAGUGGCAAAAGACUUGGUGGUUGGUACUCGAGACCCAAGUUCGAAUUCUAGUUGAUUCACAUUUUCAGCUAAGUUUAUUUCUAAAUAANGGAUUCUAAUACAAUCUUAUAUCCUAAUUGCACUAAUAAAGAUCCACUAAUCAGGUUCCGUCGGAUUUCAGGGGAAUGCUGCACAUUGUGAAGGAUUAACGUCUUUCCUGAAGUUAACUUCAGCUUGACUGUUCCGAUCCCCAACACAUUGACAGCUUUUCCAUCUCCAACAGUCACACAUCCUCCACUUGUGUCCUGAUAAGAGGAAAAUAGGGAUCUAUUAGUGCAAACAUGGACAUUGGUUCCAGAAUCUAAUCACCAAUCUAAAUCAUAAUAGGUAAGGUUAACACUAGGUACAAAAGAGACUGACCUAAAAGUGGAGUUGGAAGGUUCACCCUUAAUCAUGUUGACCUGAGGUUUAGGAUAGUUGUUCUGAUUGUCUUGGCCCUUCUUGUAGACAACCUUCUUUUUCUUCCGAUAAAAACAUUUUGAGGCAAAAUGGUUGUCACGGCCACAUACAUAACAGAAACCAUCAUUCUUCUUAUUCCCACUAGGUUGGUUGGUAUUGGGUUUCUGGGUAUAGUUCCGAUUUCGAUUAGGGUUCCUACCUUUAAAGCCUUUACCCUUAGGUUUAAAAUUUUUACCUUUGGGUUUAGGCUCAUGGCUCUGGUUCGGAAUCUCGGUCAGGUUUAUGUUUGAUCGGUUGUUGGACGGUUUAAUCUCUCUAAGUCGGUAUUGGUCUUCUAUUCUAAUGGCUUGGAUUACCGAUCUAAGUUUAAGAGUUUCCUGGGUUCGUCUAAGAUCUUAGGCAAAUUUGGUCCAGAAAGGGGGUAAUUUAUCCAAUAAACAGGUUGCCUGAUAGGUUUCAUCUAGGGUUGAUCCAUUCCUAUGAAUCUCUUGGACAAAAUUCUGAAAUUGGUGAAUUUGAUCGUUUAUAGGAAUGUUGUCUACCAUUCUAAAAUUGUUAAAAUCGGUAAUGGUAAAUCUGGCGACACCUUCAUUAUCUCUAAUGUAGGCAUCUUCUAAGGCAAGCUAUAAAUCUUUGGCAGUUUGAUAUUUCCUAUAAGUUUCAUAAAGUUCGUCAGAUAGGCAGUUAAGUAUUCUAAACCUACAGUGAAAUUCAAUUUCCUCGGGAGAUUUGUCAGUUUUAAGUUCUGUAACUGAGGUGGUUGUAGAAUCAGAUGGAGGAGUUUCAAUAGGUGGAUCAGAAGAAUUUUUAGAAGUAGGAUAAGGAGGUGUUUUUCCAAUUGCAGUUAUGAGGCCUAAGGUGGUAAGCCAAGCCUCUAACUGUUCUUGCCACCUCAAAAAUUCUACCCUUUUAAAUUUUUUUGGUUUAAGGCUAGAAGUGUCAUCGAAAGCCAUUCUAAACAAUCUAGUUGAGGGAAUAAAGAAAUCAAGGAUGAUAAAAAUAAACUGCAAAAAAGGUUCAAAAACCCUUUUUAGAAAAAUAAACAUAUUGUUAAGGUUUCUACCCUAGUCAACCAGAAUAUUUUAGGGUUUAAGUGUUUAAAUUUAAUCUCUUAUGAAAGUUCGUUCAGCAGCAAACAGAUGGCCCAAACAAUUUAAAUAAUUGAUUUCAAUUAACUAAUUUUAAACAGAUAAUAUAUGCAAUGAGAUAAUAUUUAUACAGCAAAUAGAGUUAAGAAACUACUGCAAUAAUAAAAGAAUAGAAAGUAAAAGUGGUAGUGCUGGUUAGAGGGAGUAGUGUUUGAAGAUGCCAUUUAGGCCAAUCGUGGGUUCAAAUCCCAAUUGAAAUAGUUUUUCAAAAAUAUUGUAGCAAUUUUUUCUUUCUAUUUUUUUUUUCCAAACAAAAUUUUACAGUAGCAAAACCAAAACAGUAAAAUAUAUAUGUUUUUUUUUUCCCGAAAAACAGUAUAAAUUAAAAUUAAACUUUUGAAAAGAACCGCACACUUUAAAUAAAUUUACUGUAGCAAACCUUUUUUUUUUAAUUACCAAAGAUUUUAUAGUAGCAAAUUAAAACCUCCGUAUACAAGAGAGCUAAAAAAAAUACUGUAACAAUUUUUUUUUUAACUUUAACGAAAUAGUUUUACUGUAGCAAAACUAAAACCUUAAAUUUUCUGUUGUAGACAAUUUUUUUUUUAGUAACAGUAGAAGACAAAUAAAAAUUGCAAGCAAACUAUAUGCAAUUAGAUUUUAAAAAAUGCUAAUCCCAACUUAAAUUAAUUUUNGUUCAUCACAAUUGUGAUCUUACAAAAUAAUGUAUUUUAUAUCUAUAAAGUAAAAUUUUUAUUCUAAAGAAAAAGACUUAGAUGCUACACAAGUUAUCUCGCAGGCUCUUCAUCGACCAAAUACUGUAUUAUUCUUAAAGUAAAUAAAAAAGAGGCAUCGAGUAAGAUUCUCAUGCAUCAACUUGUCCAUCUAACUACUUCGAGUAAUCGGCUCAUGCUUUUGAAAUAAUCAGCUAUUUCAUUGUGGGUCCCAUGAACUCAACUUUGCCCCCGCCAAACAUGAAGGUCCGUUUGUUUUGGUGUAAGUCAAAAAUAUAAUGUAACUUAAGUUAUGUUAGACCUCCACUUUAUCUACUUUCGACUUUCUCUGCCGAACUCGACUUCCGCCACACUCAACCUCCUCUAAAAAAUUUAUUAAAUAGUGAAACUUAAACUUUAUUUCCUUUAUAAUGGAUUAGAAUUACCUUAUUUAUAAUAAAUUAAAAUUAUAAAAAAUGUAAUUAUAUAAAGGUUAAAGUUUAUAACAGUAAAUUUACCACUAUAUUUAGGAGAUAACGGGAUUCACUUACUUAUAUCAAAACAAACAACAGAACUUAAAAAACUAAUUUUACCAAUACCAAGUUGCAUCAAAACAAACAGAAUUAGUUGAAUUUAACUUUCAAACUGUACAAGUUACGUUAAAACAAACAACAAAAAAAUAAUCACACUUUAGGAAAACUCAAAUACCAUUGCAUUUGACUUACGUUGGAUCUAUAGAUUUGUCAAUCCAAACGCCCCGAAGUUGAAAACGGGCACUGGACAGGAACUCCGCACUCCCUCUCACGCUCCAUACAAUAGGAAAAUGGUUUUGUCGAAUCCGCGAGCAUCAAUGGAAUGCUCCGCUGUCCAAUUUUCUGAUGAGUUCCAUCCGCGAGUUAUGUGCAACCGAACACUCUCUAACCAGGGGCGGAGCCAUCGUAAGGCUCGCAGUCUCAGUGGCUUAUGGCUCUCCUAACUUUUAAAAAUUACAUAUUGGUCCUUUAUAAUAAAAAUUAAAAUAUUACAAAUUUUAGUUUUAAUUUAUUUUAAUAAAACAUGUGUCUCAAUAGUCCUUUUCUUUCAGCUUUUAUAGUCUUGCUUUUUUUUAAAUACAUUAUUGUUGAGGAAAACCCGCAACGAAUAAUCCGAUUGUGACAAAAUCUAACUAAUUUAGUGAUAAAAUUAAUAACAUUAACUUACCAGUAAUCGCUAAAUUCUAAAAAAAUAAAUUGUGGAAGUAGAAUGCCAAAUUAAUUUGAUCCGGAAGCGUGCGAAGCACUGCCCUAAGGCGUAUUCCCGUCCUUCGUGUGGGAUUAACCGGAAACACCGCCCCAAGGUGCGACCGGAACUCCUUCUCCUACGAGCACGAUCGCGGAAGAGGUUGACGGAGACUCUUUCAACACUCGGUGAAAAAUAAUAAAAUGAAAGAAAAUAACAAAUGAUUCUCAAAUAGUAUUCCUUCUCACUGUUAUCUAUGUUUCCAAAGUGUUCACCUCAUAUGUAUAUAUAUAUAUAUGUCCUGUCCAAUACUAUGGACGAGGUAAUAAAAUAUAAAGGGUUAAAGUAUGGAACGUUAGAGCCCACAACGUUCCAACGCACUAAUUAAGGUCUUAAUUAGUGGAACGGAUCUGCGCACGAUCCCCCCCUCGCGCGGAGCGGCCGUAGUUGAUGCGGUCGUUUCGCUAAUUGAUAAUUAAAAGUUAAUAAAAAAAAUUAAAUAAAUAAAAUUUUGGAUUUUCUCCAACAAUUAUAACUGCUGUGCUAGCAAUAGAUGGCUAGUAAACAUGACAAACUCUUUUUCUUAUUAUUCGAUGCCGAAUUUUUUUUUUAUAUCAAACCUAAAAUUUUGGCUUCCCCUUUCCCAACUUUAAUUUUUGACUUCGUCCCUGUCUCUCUGACCCACCGAUGCCAAAAUCAAAUAAACACCGAAAGGUGAAAGAGGAGCCUCGAACCACCAGCUUUAUGGCCAUUACUAACAAAUGAAAUUAGAAAAAGAUUGAUGCCACAGUUUUAGUUGAGAGUUGGCGCUUCCCCCUAUCAAUUAAUGUGUAAAAAAAAAAAAAUGUAUGAAUAGUCCCUGUUCUAUCCCGACAUUGUAACUUGGUUUCUCUACUUUUUAAUUGUACUAUUUAAUUUUCAAAUAUUAGGGGCGAUUUCAAACAUACUCCACUAAAAUUUAAAAGUUUACUCGUAUGCACUUUUAAAGUCUAAAAUAUCAGUUAAAUCCUUCACACAUCUAUUAUCAACUUCUAUUAGUAAACAAUUAAUAAGCUUGUCCGAGUUAAAAGUGAGUUAAAUAUUAGUUAAGUUAGUAAAAUGAUGAUUCUACCCUCGUCUAUUACUUAUAUGGGACAAUAUAUUUAUACAUAUUUUUUUAUUUAGAAUAUAGUAUUUAGUUUUAUACUUUAUAGUAUGAUAUUUUUUUAAAAAAAAACAAUUUCUUAUUAAGUAUGUGAUCUAUGACUUUUAUUUUAUUAUUUUUUUAUUUAGAAAAAUUUCUUGAUACUAAGUUUACUAAUUUUACUACGUUUUUAGCUUAUUACCGGGGGUACAAAUUAAAUUUUAAAACUAAUCCAUUAAAUUUGGACGGUUUUUUGUUAGUAGAAGUAUUCGAUAAUAUUUUUUAUAUUUACAAAGGCAUUGAUAAUAUUUUGAACUUUAAAAAUAAUAUUGGUAAAAUUACAGUUUCUCAGCAAGAUAUUUGGUCAAAUUUUCCAUUUUAAGUAUAUAUGGACUUUACUAUAAGUUGGUCUCUUAUUAAAUUUUAUUUAAACUAAACUAAAAUAAAUUAGGCAUUUUCGAAAAGAAUAAAAUGAUUAUUCAAAAAAAAAAACAGAGAUUAUUUUUUUCUUAAUCAUCAUCUUACUUUUAAUUAAUGCGGUGCCAAAGUCUUGAUUAUCGUUGGACCAGUUAAGUGUCCACCAUCACAAACGUGGGGCCCACACAUGUGAGAUUCACAAGUUUGCUUCACAAUUAAUACACAUAUAACAAUAUAUAACGGCAACCUAAAUUCUCUAUGGAGUCGUCAACCGUCUAUGACGUAGGUGAUAAAGGACACUAGUAAUCGUAAGUUCAAAAUUUAAUUACUUAAUAUUUUUUAAAAAAGCUCACAUUACCAAAUAAUGGAGUACCUUUCUGUAUUUUCAAAAAAAAACUCAUGUUUUCUAAUCUCACAUUUUUUUUUUUAGGGACAAUUGUUUAUAUACCUCUGAAAGUUUUCGAUUUUUCGAUUUACCCCUCUUAGAAUACUAAUAUUGAAAAUACUUUUUCUACGUUCCAACAUAUUUCUAAUAUAUCCCUAGAGUUAAAAUCUGUUAAUGAACUUUGUUAUCUCUGUAAAAUUACUAUUUGACCUUUUCAAAUAUACCCUUCCACCAUCACUGAUUUUCUUAUUUGCCCUUAAAAUCAGGGGCACAAAAAGUAUUUUGAUUUUUGGUCUUUUUCAAUAUACCCGUCUACCGUCACCAACAUUUCUUAUUUGACCUGCAGUUAAGGGCAAAAUCGGCAUUUUAAUAUUUUUUAACUGUGGUAGAUAUUUAACUCACGUUUAACUAAAGGUGUCCAAAAUAUCCGAUAUCCCAUACCCGACCCGGACCCUACCCGGACCCAAACCGGACCCGAUAAAAAAUGAAUAGUAUACGGAUAAAAAAAAUUACCCAUUAAAGUUUCGGGUAUGGGUCCGGAUAUUUUAUACCCAUACCCGAUUUGGACCUGACCCGAACCUAACUUUUAAAUGAGUAGGGUCCGGAAUAGUUUUCAAAUCCGGAUCCGGACCCGGACCCGAUGAAAUAUCCGAUAGUAAAUAAAAAAAAAAAACUUUUGAAGUUGAAGAUUAAUUUUAAUAUGACUUAUAGAUGAUGAGUCACUACGUAUUUUCAUCCUAAUGAAACCCUAGCCGUCUCUUUUACUCAUUACUUUUUUCUAAUUUUUUUACUCUUUGUUUUCUACUCCUUUUUUUUCAUUUCAUUUCCGCCAACAAUAUUUCAUUGUCAUCAUCAUCAUCAGUGUCAUCAUUAUCAUCAGCGAUAAUAUUUCUUUUGAAUGAAUUUUAUUGGACGGUACAACUUAUUAGAAUGCGAGUUUUUUUAUGGUGGGGUUUAUAGUUUGCCUAUUGACUAUUUAAUAAAGUUUAUAAAAAAAAUAUAUUUAUACGGAUAUCCGUACCCGAUCUAGACCCGAUCCAUAUCUGGUCUUGAACGGGUUACGGAAAGUCACUACCCAGACCCGCUCAAAUAGACCCGAUGAGUAUAUUAGUAACUUUAGUACCCAGAUCCGGACCUGACCCGAAGUUAAAUGGGUAGGGUAUAUAUAUUUUUUUGUAACCAUUUCUUUUUAGGAUAUGGGUACAGUAUAUUAAUUAUCCAGACCCGACCCGGUCCACGGACAUCUUUACGUUUAACCCAAGUUAACUUAACAGGAGAUAACUGCGGGGUAUUUUACAAUAACGGUAGAACAUAUGAAAAAUAUUUUAGAAAGGAAAAAAAAAAUAGGAAUAAAUCGGAUAAUUUCAAACAUAUGAGGAGUAUAUAAGUAAUUAUUCCUUUUUUUUUAUAAAAAAGAAAGAUGUAAGUAAUCUUUCUGUUUCCCUGUUUCCCCCAAAGAAAAAAUAAAACUCAAUCAAGAAGGUAACAUAGUUUGUCACCUUUCUGUCUCUUAAAAAAAAAAAAAAAUCAUGUUUUUUGGUCUCAUAUUUUAUUUUUUUUAAAUGAAGUAGAUAAUAUAGAAUCUUUCUAUCUCUCAAAAGAAAAACUCAAUAAAACAGAUAAGAUCAUACCUUUUUGCCUUAAAAAAAAAUUGUAAUUUUGUUCUAUUUUUUUUGUUUUUGGUAACGCGCCAAUAAUUCCAAACUUGUAGAAGGUUGGUGCUUCUCGUGCUAUGUAAUAAUAUUGUAUUAAAAAAUUGAAUUUGACUCCUGUCAAAUAAAUAAUAACUAUUGGGAUCAGUAGUAACUCAGACAAAUCCUAUACAAAACUUCUGCGUCUCACCAUGGCGUGUAAAAUUUUAAACACUUUUAUUUAUUAUUAGAUACUUAAUUAUUAAUGACUAAACCUAAAAACAGAAACAAACAUACAGCCAAAUAGAUGUUAUAAAUUAUUUGCACGAAACCUAUCUCCCUAAAUUCCAAUUUAUGAAACCUUGACUUGUUCAAUUUUAAUAUCUUAAAUAACAGCACAACGUUUUCGUGCUAAAGAAUGAAAAAUGACAGCAUUUGAAUUUUUUUUUUUUACCUCUUGCUUUUUUCUGUUUUUUAUUUUAUUUUUUAUGAGAACAACAUUUGAUUUUGGGUCUACACUCAAAGCAUUUAGUGGCACCACUAUUUUUUUUUUCUAUUUUUAUUCUUAAGCUUCAUUUAGGAUUGUAGGAAGAAUAAUUAAUUGUAUUACGGGCAAUAAAAAAAAGUAUGGUGAAAAAAUACUCUAUUUAUUUUAUACGUAAUAUUAUAUUCUGCAUAUUGCAACGCAUCAAAUAUCUACAAAAUAUAUUUUAUGGAGAAACAUAUUCUUAUAUAUUUUUGUCCCAAUUCCGUUUUGCCUAUUAGCUAAGAUAAAACUCAAUAUCAAACAGACUUAUAUUAUAAAAUAAUUUGUUGAAUAUAAAUAUUAAAAAUAUUGUUCACUUAAAUUUUAGUGACAAAUGGUUGUUCAUGUAAAGGAACAAAAAUUUCAAUAUUUUAUAUUCAAUAAUAUCACAACUGCAAAAAACCAAGAUAAGAUAGUUUGCUUGUAGUUGCUUUGAUUAUUUUUUUUAAAAAAAAUUUACCAAGUUAAUUUUAUGAUUCUUUUUAUUGCAAAUAUUCACAAAAUUGAUCAUAUUAAUUACCAAAGAGAAUUAUUAUAAAACAGAAAAAAAAAAUUAUGAUCCUGUAAUUAAAACAACUAAUUGUUCUAAAAACUUAAUUUAAUAAUUGAAUACUCAAAAUAAAAUUAAUUAAGGUGACAUAACAUGAUGGUUCUGUUACAUCCAAAUUGAAUCGAAAGUAAAAGAGAACAAGUGAAAAACAUGCCCUAAAAUUCUUCAAUCUCAAAAAGGUUUUAUUAAUUUCUUAAUACUAUAGAUUCGAUUACUUAAUUCAACAUAUUUUCCUUUGACUUUUCCGUGUUUUUCUUUGAACCCUAUUAUAAGAAAUCGUUCUCAACAUAAAUAGCUUGUGAAUUGUGAUGCACGUGUCCAACCACAUUAUUUAAUCCCACAAGAAAUGAAGAACCUCUCAUAUCUAGUCACAUUUAGUUGCCAUGUUUUUUUUUUUUUUUAAUUCUCUCAUUAAUAACUCAUUUUGAUAAAUCUCUCAUUAAUUUAAUUUGAUAAAAUUUUAAUAUAUAUACAUGUUUUCUUUUGAGCUUGUCACAUAUCAUGUUUACUUUUUUUAAAAAAAAGAAUAAGAUAACAUGCCACUUGCUUCAUUUAGUUUUAUUAUAAAUAAAUUUGGCUGAAAAUGUAAAGCAAUUAGAUUUUAAACUUGGGGCCUCGGAUUUGCACUGAAAUGGUCGGUUUCAUAUAUUUUGUUGUACAUCUCCAAAUUACUCUCUCUCAGAAGAGAUAGAGAGAGAUCGACUAUAUUUAUUUUUGUGAUUUUUUUAGGAAACUCUCAGUGUAUAUUUUUUUAUACAAUUUUCUUAAUAACUUUUUGUUACAAUAAAAUUUACAAGUAUUUUGAAUCCUAUUCAUAAAAAUUAUAUAAGUUAUUAAGAUUAACUGAUGAAUGCAAAGUUUGGGAAUUGAUUGUAUUUUUGCCAUCCAAAUUUGACCACUAUUUUGUGGUCUGUUGACCGUUGAUUUUUCAGUAUUAGGACCAUUAUAAUGACCAAAAAGGACAUUUUUUUAAACUAAUUUAAGAUUUAUAUUUUAUGUAGAAUAACAUAAGAGAUGGAAUAGAAAAAUUAGAAAUUACAAAAAAUGACUAAGAGUGUUUAAAAAGAUCCUCAUUUAAAGGUAAAACAGUAAUUAAUUUUUAAUUACUAAAAAUCCAAAUUUAAAUGGUCGACUAAUAAAUGGUGAUAAAUUACAAUUUUUGAUUAUCCGUGACGAUUAAUUAUCAAAUUAACAUUUCUGAGGAAACAAUCUAUAAUUUAGUAUAAGAAUGUACAACUUAAACACCGGCUAAACAUGUGAGCUCUAGCAAAUAAUCUCCUAAACUUUUAAUUUUGCAAUUAAAUCCUUUAGACUUUAUUAAACAGUACUAUAGCUUACAUAUGAUCUUGCGAAGUUUCAAAAUAUAGUAAAAUCUAUCUUAUCUUUUCAAACGCUUGAAAAAAAGAUAAUAAAAAUCAAAUAUACAUUUUGCAUAUUAUUCAAUUCUUAGCAUAUUAUUCAAUUCUUAAAGCCUAACUAAAAUACUAUUGAUAGUAGAUGAAUAAUAUUUACUAUCAACUUUUAAAAUUCUUGGAUUCAUAAUAGUACUAUCACCAAAUAGUAAACCUUAAAAGCAUCCAAAUGAUAAAACAUUGAUAGCAAUCAUUAUUCCUCUUCUAUCAAUAGUAUAAUUAUGAUGCUUAAAUUUUAUCCGCAAAAAGAAAAGUAGGAUUAUUUGUGAUCAUAUGCAAGGUAUUCAUUGGCGCCGCCAUUUGAUGAAAUUUAGAAAAUCUGGUUGGCAAAAUUAAAAGUUUUGAGUGUGAUAGAAAUCACCUGAAUUCAUUCCUUCUAGCAUUUUGCAGUGAUUAGUUCACAAAUUCUUUCUGAUGCUUAAAUUUUGUCCCCGAAAAGAAAAGUAGGAUUAUUUGUGAUCAUAUGCAAGGUAUUCAUUGGCGCCGCUGUUUGAUAAAAUUUAGAAAAUUUAGUUGGCAAAAUUAAAAGUCCAGAGUGUGACAGAAAUCACCUGAAUUCAUUCCUUCUAGCAUUUUGUAGUGAUUAGUUCACAAAUUUUUUCUGAUGCUUAAAUUUUAUCCGUGAAAAGAAAAGUAGGAUUAUUUGUCAUGAUCAUAUGCAAGGUAUUUUAUUGGUGCCGCCAUUUGAUUAAAUUUAGAAAAUCCAGUUAGCAAAAUUAAAAGUUCAGAGUGUGUGAUAGAAAUCACCUAACUUCAUUCCUUCUAGCAUUUUGCAAUGAUUAGCUGACAAAUUUUUUCUGAUGCUUAAAUUUUGUGCGCAAAAAGAAAAGUAAAAUUAUUUGUGAUCAUAUAUGCAAGGUAUCAUUAAUUGGCGCCGCCAUUUGAUGAAAUUUAGAAAAUCUAGUUGGCAAAAUUAAAAGUUUAGAGUGUGACAGAAAUCACUUGAAUUCAUUCCUUCUAGCAUUUUGCAGGGAUUAUAUAGUUGACAAUUUUUUUUUUGAUGCUUAAAUUUUGUCUGCGAAAAGAAAAUUAGGAUUAUUUGUGAUCAUAUACAAGGUAUUCAUUGGCGCCGCCAUUUGAUGAAAUUUAGAAAAUCUAGUUGGCAAAAUUAAAAGUUUUGAGUGUGAUAGAAAUCACCUGAAUUCAUUCCUUCUAGCAUUUUGCUUUGAUUAGCUCACAAAUUUUUUCUGAUGCUUAAAUUUUGUCUCCGAAAAGAAAAGUAGGAUUAUUUGUGAUCAUAUGCAAGGUAUUCAUUGGCGCCGCUGUUUGAUAAAAUUUAGAAAAUCUAGUUGGCAAAAUUAAAAGUUCAGAGUGUGACAGAAAUCACUUAAAUUCAUUCCUUCUAGCAAUUUGUAGGGAUUAUAUAGUUGACAAAUUUUUUCUGAUGCUUAAAUUUUGUCCGCGAAACGAAAAGUAGGGAUUAUUUGUGAUCAUAUAUAUGCAAGGUAUUCAUUGGCGCCGCCAUUUGAUGAAAUUUAGAAAAUCUAGUUGGUAAAAUUAAAAGUUCAGAGUGUGACAGAAAUCAUCAGAAUUCAUUCCUUCUAGCAUUCUGCAGGGAUUAGUUGACAAGUUUUUGCUUUCUUAUUUAUUCAUUUAUUACAGAUCUGAAACAGGCAAGCCACCAAUCACACAGCAACCUAUAACUACUCAGACAACUCUUGUGUUGGGGAAUCUCCCCACCUACAUUUGCGCUCACAAGGGAUCAAAAGGGAAUAUAAUCCCACAUAUUCCACCAUUUCCCUUUCCCCCUCCCUCUUUCUCUCCUUUCCCAUCACUCAAACUAAAUUACACCACCAAUCAAAUCCUAGCAUUUCAUGAUACACACAAUAAGAGAGAGAGAAAGAAAAGAAACCAACUUAGCUUUUCUCCUCCUCUCCCCUCUCUCUCUCUCUCUCUCUCUCUCUCUCUCUCUCUCUCUCAACAUCUUGGGUAUGUCACAAGUUAUGCUCAUCUCAAAAGGAAAUUGAAGGUUUUGUGUUUGUGUUUGAAAUGAACUCAAGUGUGAUCUUGUUUUUGCUGCUGCUGCUGCUGCUGCAGAGAGGAGGAUGGGCUCCGAGGACUCGUCGACCGCGGCGGGAAGCAGCGAGUUCGGCUUGAGGAAGCGGGGAGGCAAGAAGAGGAAGUGGGAGCUGGUCGAGUUCGACGCGUUGCCGGAUUAUUUGAAGGACAAUGAGUUCAUUGUAGGGCACUACAGAUGCGAGUGGCCUCUCAAGGAGACCAUCCUCAGCAUCUUCUCCAUCCACAAUGAGACCCUCAAUGUUUGGUCGUACGUAACGCAAUUUCCUCUCCUCUUAAUUCAAUCACUAACAUUUCUUCUUUCGUAUUCUCCGCUUACGCUUACGGUCUGUUCGGUCUAAAUUAUGCGCAAAGUAUUUAUUACCAGUAAAGUUAACUUUUACGUGUUAUAACUAUUCUUGUUAUCAUGAUAAUUAUGUGGCUGUACUGUAAGGUAUAGUAUUAUUUAAUAAAAUAAUGUCUAUACAACACUAUUAGAAAGAAAAAAGAAAAAAAUCAUACAAGUAAAAUCCUCACUAGCUUCUUUCCGCGGCAGAAUCAGAAAUGUCAUAUCGCAAGUUUCGCUAGCGAGGCUCACAAUCUCAUAUUUACUAAUUUUGAACUUUUCUAUCAGCCAAACACUCUGCUCAUGUUGAAAACAAAAGCAGAAGCGUACGAUCAUAUUAACACGUCCUUAGACUAAGUUCUAUCAAAUCUAAUUAACACUUUCUCUUUCUUUUUGGGUGUUUAUAGGCAUCUAAUUGGGUUUCUCAUCUUUAUGAUCCUAACCAUAUUCACCACAAUGGUGACACCCAAAGAAGAGAGGAAUAUCCCUUCAAUGAGGCAGUGCAUGGGUUUGGUGGAGACCAACAUGACAGCAGAGGGGGAGGCAUGCAUCAUUGCCUGCCUGGUAUCUCCAAAUAUUCCAGCUAAUGAAAUUGAGGCCUCUCUGUCACCUCUGCACAGCUUGCAUCUCCCUGACAUUCUCACCAGCUACCUCCCCAGCAGAUUCUCCCAUGCCAACCUCAGCAACAACCCUUAUUUUCCGGUAUCUUUCUUAAAACAUAUAUAUAUAUAUAUAUAUAUCUCUGUGCUAUAUAUCCUUCCUUUUUUUUAAAUUCUAAAAGUACACUUUAAUUUUUGUUCACUAUCAUUUAUUUUAAUAGUUUUAUUUUUCUUUUACCGAAAGAAAGAACGUAUUUUCAAGUAGUAUAACAAAGUGGUUUAUCUUACAAACCAAUUAAAGCGCAUGAUUUGUAUUCCGCUACCAUGUAAUUCAUAAAAUAUAUUAUCAACGGUAAGCUCUUAUGCCCAGAUAAAGAGAAAAAUAUUGUUAAAUAAUGAAAUACAAUAACUUGUUAAUUAAAGUAUUUGAUUACAACUUACAAUUAGUCAAAUCUAGGAAAUCCUACAUGCAUGGAAAGGGAUUGAUCAACCAACCUAAUAAAAGUUUAAGGAUUGGUGGGAGAGAUAAUAGAAAAGCUAAAUGUGAUUCAAGAACACAAAUGGGAUCUAAUUUGAUAAAAAACACUAACAGAGUAGGAUGGUAAUUGAGAAAGGUGAAAAAGAGUUUUUUUUUUUAAAAAAAAAAUUAAUGUUUGGAUGGAUGUGGACCACUAAUUGUUGGGUAUAUUACUGUCCUAUUGAAUCGAAAUGGUAAAUUGCACGGAUUGUCUCCGGAAUUUAGAAGAACUUUUACUUUAACCAUUAUUCUCCUAUUAGUGCACAACCAACUCAUGGUACAAACUUUUUUUUUUACUUAUGGCCAAAAAAAAAAAAGGAUAACAAAAUAGUUUAUAUGUUUUUCCGUAAUAAACAUAUCACAUUUUCCUCAACAAAAAAAAAAAAAAAAAAAAAACAUAUCAUAUGGUGUAGAUCCUAAUGAUUCAGAUAUGAUAUAAUUUAUUCAGUUGCACCGAAAAAUUACCAAAGUAUAUCAAAGAGAGAUAGAAUGCUACUCUUUUCAUUCAUUUUCUUUAUAAAUGAACUUAAUUGAAAAAAUAAAGUAAUUAAGCUUUGAACUUAGAACCUCGGGUCUCAAGUAUCAAGUCCUUUUGCCAGCUAUAUUAGGGAAUAUCAGUCUUAGUAGGAAAUUUGUUGCAUAACCUUCUUGUACAUUCGUCUAUGAGCCGCUUAAACGCUAAAUUGUCACUAUUUUUUUUUUUGGUUUAAAGCAUGAUUUUAAGAUGGAAACAAAUCAUUUGGCAUCAAGUUUACUAUCCAAAAAUACUUUUAGUAAUUAGAUAUAGAUAAAUUUGUUAUGGUUAAAGUAUGGUGAGCUUUUGAGCAAGUUGACAGAAUAGAUAAAGAGUGGAGUCUUUGUAAAUAGAGUGGAAUAAGAAUGAAAAUUUUCAAUCUAACAUAUCUUAUCUAGCGUAUUUGGAUAAAAUUUUGACAGUUGAUAUUCGAGGUUCUAAAUUCGAAAUCUAGUUAAUUAUCUCAAAUUUCUAAUAAAUUUAUUUUUAAAAAUAAAAAAAAUAAAAUAAAUAGUUUACUAAUUAUUUCUUAAACAAAAUCAACAUAGUGAGAUGGUGAACCGAAAAGAAAAAAAAAAAGGAAAACUUCAAAUAUCACUCUUGUAGUUUCACACUUUCUCACUUUAGUACCAUAUGGUUUAAAAUGUAUCAAUUUGGUGGCCUGUGGUUUUAUUUUUAUUUUUUUAUUAUCNAAACCACCAAAAUUCCUACCUGUUUCAUAUUAAUCACAACAAGAUGAUCUUAUAACAUAACCACAAUCAGAUGACCUAACCACAAAGCACAAAGGGCAAUAAACUCAUCAUCGGAUUAGAAGAGAAGGAAAAAUCCCAAAGCAAUUAAGAAAUCAACAUUCAAAUAAGAAACAUCAUAAGAUCUAUUUUUCUUGAUAGGAUGGGUAUGAAAAUUGACCCAUUCCUUUGAUCGUACAACUUUACCCAAAAAGUACUUUUUAACUUUUUAUCGCAUAUUAAUUCCUUUAACAGGACAAGUAAAGGACAAAAACUAACUAACAAUUCACAUUAACCUCACAACUAAAUCGGAAGCUACAUAUUAAACCAUUGUCAUUCGAUUAUUUGUUUAACUAAAAGUUCCUAAGAAGAUGUCAAUUUUUACUACUUUGGCCAUUUUUUAUCAAAUCAAAAUUUAUCCACUCGCUCAUCUAUUCAUUCUUUUUAAACAGUCUGCACCUGAAGUCGAAGUCGCCGAUACGCUCUCACUUUCUGUGACCACCUCCGCCACCGCCACGACGGCGCCGAUCACGCGGUGGCCGAUUCUUGCAUUCCUCUGCGGCGCCAUGUUCUGCCUCCUCACCAGCAGCAUCUGCCAUCUGAUCCUUUGCCACUCCGAGCAGAUGGCCUGCUUCAUGCUCCGCCUCGACUACGCAGGCAUCACCGUCCUCAUCGUCACGUCUUUCUAUCCUUUAGUCUUCUACUCCUUCCUCUGCGACCCCUUCUACUGCGCUCUCUACACGGGCUUCAUCACCGCCUUCGGCACCGCCGCUUUCGUGGCCUCCCUCAUCCCCGUUUUCCAGACUCCCCAGUUUCGGCCAAUCCGAGCCGCACUCUUCGCCGCCAUGGGCGUCUCCGGCAUCGUUCCCAUCGUGCACAAGCUCAUCGUGUUCCACGACCGGCCCGAAGCGGUCGUCUCUACCGGGUACUAUAUAGUACAGCAACAACCGAUUCCUCUAAAAGCUUAAACCACUAUAUGUAAUAUUUUAAGUCAACUUUAGUAAAAUCAUAAUUUUUUAUGGAAUAAAAACUUUAGUGCCAAACAUUUUUUAAGUCAACACAGUAUCCACACAUUUCACCUUGUUUUUUUUGUUCACAUUCCCCGUACCGGGGUGACACAAUUCAUUUCUCGAGAAGCUCGAGCGACUGACAAAAAAUAUUUUAAUAUUUAUAUUCAACAGAUAUGAAGUUCUCAUGGGGGCGUUUUACGCGGCGGGCGUGGUCGUGUACGCGGCGCGCGUGCCGGAGCGGUGGCUCCCCGGAGGGUUCGACCUGGUCGGGCACAGCCACCAAUUGUUUCACUUGCUGGUAAUUGCAGGGGCGUACACACACUAUCUCGGAGGAUUAGUUUAUCUCAAAUGGAGGGACGUGGAAAAGUGCUUAUAAUUAUAACAAUAAUAAUAAGCACAAUAAUAAUCAGAACAAUAAUUAGAAGAGAUUAAUUAGGAGUGAUUUUUGGGGAAGCAAUUCUUUUUGUGUAUGAGUUGGGGGUUAAUCCAGGAUCUCCAACUUGUGCAUAAGCCAUUUAGAGCGAUAGUAGAUUUUAUACACUUUUUAAGAUUGUUUAGAGAAGGAAACAAGAGAAAGAACAGAUGUAUGCAUGCAUUAUGUAUAAUGAGAGGAUCGCAGUUGAUUUGUUGAUUUGUUUGUACUAGUGUGAAAUACUACUUAUAUAUAAAUAAUUUGUGUGAUAUGCUGCUAUUAAGGGUAAGUACAUUUAUUAGAAAUAAGAAUCCUAGCCAGAGUAUAAUAUGUAGGAUUUUUUUAAAAAUUUAUGAGCUUUAAUUUUCAGAGUGGUCUCCCCACAAAGAUGCCUGAUCAUUGGCACCCACCAUUAAUCCCAAAAAUUCGAACUAUUAAAAAGAUACAACGGGUUCAUUUAAAGUGUUCAGGCACAGCGCCCACAAAGUCUCAAUUGUGACUCGCUCUAAUUAGUUUUACGCCACUUCGAACACGACUCAGCACGACUCGACCUACCGCCAUUUCAAAUAUAACUCAGCCCAAUCUGACCUUUCGUCCAUGUGUUCUAAUUUUUAAGAAAGAGGAAGAAGAACAAAAGGAAGACGGACCGGCCAGAUUGCGACUCAGCUUGAGUUGAGUUAAAAGGCCAAGUCAUUUUAGGCCUGGCCAUAUGGCCUUGGAGUUUGAACAUAAUGGGCCUUUAGUGGGCUUCAUCAACACUUUUAAUAUUCUAACUAAAUUUUGUUUUGGGCCUUGAAUUUUUAAUGUUGACACUAAAGAUUCUUAACCUUAAAAAAAAAAUUAUUAAGAGCAAACUAUUGCACUGACCGUCCCUAACACAAGUGGCAAAUGGCUUGAUGGUUAGUAUUCGAGAUCCCAAAUUCGAAUCCUAGUUGAUUCACAUUUCUAAGUAAGUUUAUUUCUAAAUGAAAUAAACAAAGCGGCUAACAUAAUACCUAUCUCUCAAAAAAAAUCGCAAACUAUUGCUCACACUCGGUGCAUAUGUAUAUUUGUAUCUACUAUAUAUUUAUCCACGACCAUUUAUUUUCAUUUACUAAUAAUAUUUUUACUAUCCAAAUAAAUUUAAUAAAGUACUUAGUUUUUAAAGUUAAAAUAUUAUUGACCGGCUAAAAUAAAACAAAUAAAAAAAGUAAGAUAGUAAAAUAAAAAUUUUAAAAAUUAAGUCGUUGAUUCAAAAUGGUCCACAGCUCGAAAUUUUUGUACCUUUUUUAUCAAUUGAAAAAAAAACAGCAAGUACUUUCAUGCUUCCUUCUCCUUUUCAAGGAAGACUACUGUGUGACAGUUACGCCACAUUAUUUAUAUCUAGUUAAUUAUAUGUCUUAUUUUGAAAAAAAAAAAAGUAUAAUAAAAAUAUUUUUUCUAAACAUUAUAAUGUUUUGGAUGAUACCCAGGAACUCAAUUUGAUUGAUUGAAAAUACCACAUCAAAUCAUCAACAAUAUGACCGGCACAUUUUAAACUUUUUCCUCCUUUCCUUCCGGUUUCUUUUUUCUUUUUUAUUUUUUAUUUUUUACAAAUGGUCUUGAAAAGUUAAUAUUUAGAGAAAUAGUCUGCUCUCUUACGCAUGAGCGCCAUGCUGGACAGGAGAGGAUAAUAUAGAAAUUUUUAAUUUAAAUACGAUAAUUCAGUCAUCAUGUUUAAACAAGGUAAUUGGAUAAUCGAGUUUCUUUUUAUAUUUUUCGCUUAUAGUAAAGGAAAAAAAAAUACUGUAAAAUUUAAGAAAGAACACGUUUAUUAAGUCAUCAUGUUUAAAUACAGUAACUGAAUCACCGUGUUUAAUUUAAUAUUACAUUUUUCUGUCCAAUGCGACACAUGCAUAGCAGAAAGAGAAUAAUUUAUACAAAAAUAAAUUUACUCGGAUUAUUUAUAAAUAACUAAAAAGAAAAGAAAAAAAAAACAUUUCUCCCGCCAUCUUCUCCGACUCACCGCGGAGAAAGGCCUACGCGUGGCUGCACGCCAGCCGUUCUUCACCGGUACAGCCAACGCUCCGCAGCCGUCCAAGCCAAAAUUAAUACGCUUCCGUCACGAAUCUUGGCGAGAUAAUCUCCCCGCGCCCACGCGUUCUCCGCUGCGGGUGCUCAAACGUCACCGCCGACGCGACUCCUUUCGUACAACCCCCCUCACUUUUUCUUAAUCCCGCUAAACUCACGUAAACACGACUAUAUUCAAUAUCCGAAUAGUAUAGGGACCAUCCGUAAAUUUUCCCCGCUCACUUUUUCUUCCUUUCUCUUUUUUUUCUCUCUGACACUCCCCGCGCACUCUUUUCCGCGCAACGACGACGACGACGCCACCACCCCCCACGCAGCUCCUCCGCUAAGCUCCCCAUGGCGCGUCCCCCGAAACCCCACUCCUCGUUCCUCUCCGACGCGCUCAUCUUCGCCUCGGGCGCCCUCCUCGCAAUCCUCCUCCUCCUCGGCCUCUCCUCCCUCCACCACCAACCCCCGCUCCUGCUCCUCACCCCCUCCUACGCGCACCCCGCGGCGCCCAAACCCCACCCCGACGACCCCUCCGAACCCACCUUCUACGACGACCCCUCCCUCUCCUACGCCAUCGACUCCCCCGUCGCCGACUGGGACGCGAAGCGCCGGCGCUGGCUCCUCCUCCACCCCUCCCUCUCCUCCUCCGGCGCCGGCGCCGGCGAGCGGGUCGUGAUGGUGUCGGGGUCGCAGCCGUCGCCGUGCCGCAACCCGGUCGGGGACCACCUCCUGCUCCGGCUCCUGAAGAACAAGGUCGACUACUGCCGCCUCCACGGCAUCGAGCUCCUCUACAACACGGCGCUGCUGCACCCCGCGAUGCCGACCUUCUGGGCGAAGAUCCCGCUCAUCCGCGCCGCCAUGCUGGCCCGCCCGGAGGCCGACUGGAUCUGGUGGGUCGACUCCGACGCCGCGGUCACCGACAUGGACUUCGCCCUCCCCCUCCGCCGCUACGCCGCCCACAACCUCGUCGUCCACGGCUGGCCCCACCUCGUCUACGACGAGCGCUCGUGGGUCAGCCUCAACGCCGGCGUCUUCCUCAUCCGCAACUGCCAGUGGUCGCUCGACUUCAUGGCCGAGUGGGCCGCCAUGGGCCCGCGCUCGCCCGACUACGAGAAAUGGGGGAUGACGCUCAAGCGCACGUUCCGGGACAAGGUGUUCAACGAGUCCGACGACCAGUCGGCGCUCGUCUACCUCCUCCUCACCCAAAAAGAAAAGUGGGGCCACAGGAUAUUUCUUGAGCACCAGUUCUACUUCGAAGGCUACUGGGUCGAGAUCGUCGGGCGAUUGGAUAACAUCUCAACAAGGUUUAUAUACAUACAUCUUACUCUAAUCCGCAUAACAAUAAUACUGAUUUGAAGUUGAAGUUGGAUUGAAUUUUAGCCUGUUAGAUGUGUAUAUAGUCAGAAAAUUAAUAUAAAUAAAUGUUAAUUUAAGGGUGUUUUUGGGCCUAGCUAAGAUGUGUGGAUUUAAUAAGGGUACAAAAUUAUUAGUAUUUUAGUUGUAAGGUAUUUGAUAUAAAAAUUUACAUAAAAAAAUUAUAAAAUUUAUUUGAACAGUAUAUAUUAUUUUAAAUUGAUUAUCUAGUAAUUUUAAAUUUUGAUUAUAUUAUUUAAUUAUUUAAUUUAUUUGAUUUGAAUAGGUCAACGUUAUUUUGAAUCUGUUAUUUAUUUUUACAAUUUAUUUUUACGAAUUUAGUUAAUAUUAUCGAACAGUUUUGAAAAUGUGAAUCAACUAGGAUUCGAACUUGAGUUUCGGAUACCAACCACCAAAUCCUUUGUUACUUGCUCUAGGAACAGUCGGUAUCGAACGAUGUUUUAAUAUUUUAUAUUUGGCAGGUACGAGGAGAUGGAGCGGCGGGGGCCGGCGGUGCUGCGCCGUCGCCAUGCGGAGGCUGUCGCCGCGGCCGUUCAUCACGCACUUCACCGGGUGCCAGCCGUGCAGCGGCGACCACAACAAGCUGUACUCCGGCGAGAACUGCUACGAGGGCAUGCGCCGCGCCCUCACCUUCGCCGACGACCAGGUCCUCCGCAACUACGGCUUCCGCCACGCCGGCCCCCUCAGCGACGACGUUCGGCCCCUCCCCUUCAAUUACCCGGCCACCGCGGCCUAGCAGUAGCAAUAAGAGUUACUUGCACCAGCUGAUUUUAUCGGCCUUUACUCUUCUUUUUUUUUCAUUUUGAUCUCCAAUCUUCUUAUUUCUGUAUUAGAAUUAACGGUUUUUUGAAUAAUGGAUAGGAUAAGAGAUCAAAUUGUGAAAAAACUGGAAUAAAGGAUUAGGAUCAUUGGUGCAAUUUAACACUAGCUAGCUAAUUACGGUGGUGGAUUAGUUUAAAAGAAAUAUUUGUUUAAGAAAUAGAAACAGUAUGUGUUUAAUUAUAUAUAUGUUGAUGUGGUAGGAACCUGAAAUGAAAUGUUGCUUAGGAAUCUUUAAUAAAAAGAGUUGUUUUAUUUUUAGUGGCGUAAUCUUCGGAGGGAUAUAUGCGUUGCUUGUUUGUGUUGAAAAUAGAGCCCUUUUAUGUUUUCUGCAGCUUUAGUUGCGGAGACAUUGUUGUUCGCUGCACCGGGUUCUCCACGUCAGCAUGUGGAUCGCUAGUGGGUUGGUCUAACUCUCUGAGAUAAAGGUUUCUGUAUGAUGAAAUGAAAGGUUCACAUAGCACGUGGUUUUUCAUUUUUUUUAUUUUAGUAUUUUUAGUUUAAAGUGUAUUAAGUUAGUGUACUGUACUUUUUUUUUUUCUCAGUUUUUCUAUUAAUAUUUCGUUAAAUUAUAUAUAAAAAAUUUUAGAUACUUCACCUAAAUUUAUCGAAUAUUCACUUUAGUACCUUUUAGUUUUAAUUUUGUCACUGAUUUAACGAAAAAGUUAGUAAAAUCGAUAAUAAAAAGAUAAAAAUAAAAUUACAGAACACUAAAAUAAUACAUUUUAAAUCAUAAGUUAUUAAAGUGAGAAAGUGUGAAAUCACAGAUAAGAAUUUUAAUACUGCAGCAAGGAAUUGUGUCAGAAACUUAUUGAUACUGUACGACACGGUGCGUACCCGACCGUGCCGAUGCAUGCCGGUCACAAAAUAUU